RNAcentral lists this long non-coding RNA (56663 nucleotides) under Selaginella moellendorffii. RNAcentral's name for it is "long non-coding RNA (SMOE_LNC001457)". The stretch from base 48087 to 48158 matches the Rfam family "tRNA". Lineage: Eukaryota; Viridiplantae; Streptophyta; Lycopodiopsida; Selaginellales; Selaginellaceae. The record is from RNAcentral.
AUUGACAAAUCUAUCACAAAAUUAUGCCACAACAUCCUUCAAUACAUCAAAAUCCAAGUUAUAGUCAAUUGUACAUACUAGACUCUAAUAAGGCUAUUGAUCUUAGAAAACAAAACCCUUUUAACAUUAACUGUGAUUAUAAUUUAUUGCUUCAACUAGAUACAAUACUUUGACAUAUUAAUCCAUAUGCAGAAGUUUUUAGAAUGAUGUAUAAAUUGGAACAAGAAAAUAUUUUAAGAACUAUUAUCUCUGGUAGAUUUUUACAUGGAGUAUAUAUGCUCAUUAAAAAUGAAGGCACAAACCAUCAUCGAUAUAAUACUCCACAAACUAAUGAUGUUGUAAUAGUUUUCUAAAGUGAAGAUAGGAUGCCACUUUUUGACCGUGAAAUAUGCAUUCAUCCAAAAUCAUCAGAACCACAACAUAUAUCUAUUUUAAAUGCUAAUUGCAAUCCUAUGGUUUAUCCAUUGCUUUUUCCACAUGGAGAUAAAGCCUAACAUGACAAACAUUCUUCUAACAAACAUAUAACACUCCUUCAAUAUUAUGCUUAUUAUUUGUCCAAAAGAGAUUUAAUAUUAUCAUCCUCUAUAGUUACAUAUGACCAAAUUUUACAUGCUGGAAAACUCACCCAAUAAUAUAUUGUAGAUGCCUAUAUUAAAAUUGAAAGAAAUAAUUUACAAUACUAUAGAUCUAAUCAAAAAAAUAUGAGAGUUGAUUUUUAUACAGGUUUAAUGGAUUAUAUUACUAGCAAAGCUACUGAUGCAAAUGCUCGACUAGGAAAAAUUGUUAUUUUACCAUCUACUUUAAUAAGAACCCCAAGAGUUAUGCAACAAAAUUACCAAGAUGCUAUGACAAUUGCAAUAAAAUACUCAAAACCUAAUAUUUUCAUAAUUUUCAAUAGCAACCCUAAAUGGCCUAAGACAUUACAAAAUCUACACCCUAAUGAAGGACCUGAAGACUGACAUGAUUUAAAAUAUUUUCUCCAUGAUAUUACAAAACAUAAUAUCUUUGGAAGAUGUAUUGCAUUUAUAUAUGUCAUUGAAUUCUAAAAAAAGGAUUGCCACAUUGUCAUUUCCUAGGCACAUUAGACAAUGAAAGUAAAAUUAAAGACCAUAAGUAAUAUAUAUCUGCUCAAUUACUUAACCAUUUAUCAGAGCCCAAACUAUUUGAAAUAAUUAUAUCACAUAUGAUACAUGGUUUAUGUGGAUUACUAAAUCCUCAAAGUACAUGUAUGAAAAAAAAAAUGCUCAAAAAACUAUCCCAAAAACUUCAAUGACAAGACCAUAUAUUAUGUAGAUGGGUACCUAAACUAUUUAAGACCAAACAAUGACUGCACCUUCCUUAAAAAUCAUGUUCCAAUUGAUAAUAAAUGGAUUAUAUUCCCAUAUAAUAAAUAUUUAUGUAAAAAACAAAGUCCAUAUAAAUGUAGAAAUAUGUCCAUCAAUUAAAAGUAUUAAGUAUCUUUUUCAAUAUGUUUAAAAAAGAUAUAAUUGUGUAACCAUUGAAAUCCAAACAACUACAUAGUCUAAAAACAUAUUAAAUUAGGUCACAAAUAUUAUAAAUACUCAAUAUAUUUCAGCACUAGAAGCUAUUUGAAGGAUAUUUAAAUUUAAAAUACAUGGAUGCUCACACCCUGUAAUACAUCUACCCAUUCAUCUUUCUAAUUUUCAACAUGUAUAUUUUACAGAAGGUUUAGAGCACAAUGCCUUGCAAAGGGCAAUAUGUAAUGGAACAAUGCUAAUAAAAUGGUUUGAGCUCAAUAUUCAUGAUCCAAAUGCAAAGAGAUGGGAAUUCCUUACCAGGCUAAGUAUGCUUAUAACAUGUAGAAAUUCUGUCCUUAUCUGGUCUAAGUACACUCGAAAUGCCUAAUUAACUCCACUAGCACAAAAGGGACUAAUAAAGGGUCCAACAAUACUGACUUUUUGCUAUCCUAGCAGUAAGGAAAGCAUAUUUAAAAGGACUAGCCGACAGAUAGCUUUCAAUAUCCGAAAUCACAUUCAUGAUAUUUUUCCCCCCCUUAGGGAAGAUCAAUGUCCUUGUCAAUGCAUACUUCAAUCUAAACCACUGCCAAGGAAAUAACUCUAGAAAAAGUUCACAAUGAUCACACUAUGUGAGAAAUGCACCAACUUAAAUGGGUUAGGGUAACCUUUUUGUCUAAUGUGGAUAUGCUACUAACUCAAACACCUUUCAGCUGUCGUUGAUAAGGAAAUGACCAACAGAAUUAGCCACUCUUGCUACUCUGGGUGUCACCUAGCUUACAAAAGUGUGAUACACCCUUGCUCGUAGGGACAUAGAGAGAGAACCCAGUGGCCCAAACCCUCAUGAGCAAAGAAACCAAGCCCAUUAGUAAAGUUUAUAUAAACUACUGUAAACAGACAGUUAGAGUUAUUUAUAUGGUCACGCCCUUUUAACGGAAUAAGGAAUAUCAAUAGAGAGGUGGGUGAUGUGACCAAUCGAUCGUAGCUACCCUAUGACUGAAGAAUUCACCAUGCAAACGAAGUGUUGAAGCCAAUCUACCUAUACUAGCCCAAACUCAAAGAUCAACAGAUGGACAAUAUCAAAGUCAAAGACAAUGAUAUCUUAGAGAUUUAAUUAUCAGUGAAUAAAUCUUAUAUUAAAACACAAAAGUAUUCCAAGUAAAUUAUCAUCUGAUAAACCAAUAUUAGAGUACAGGAACCACCAAGAUCUUUAAAAGUUAAAAUCAUAGAAUUAAUCAUUCAACAAAAUUGAGAAAACUCAAUGAUAAAAUAUAACCACCAAAAAUUGUAGAUAGUAUGCCAAACAACUUACCAAAACUAACUCAAAAAACACAAAAUAUCAUUGAUUGGCAAACAAAAUGCUCGCGAAUGUAUUGUUUGAAGGAAAUAACAUUUUAAUCUAUCAGAAGCAAUUGUAAUGAUAGUCAACAGAAUAGAAUGAAUAUGGUAAAACCAAUAAACAUUCGCUCAUGCCAACUGUCAUAUUAACCAAUUUGAAUAGAUUCCAAUCAACAAUACAAAGGAGCUCAAGUUGCUUAAGUAAGCAUCGGCAACAUCUUAUUGAUGUCUCAAACCCAAGAAACUAAUCUAGAGCAAACCACAAAGAACAUACGGUAAUGUGAAAAACCAUAAGGUAUCAAAGAGAAUAAUUAAUUAUCAUGAAAGAUCAUUAAUCAUCCCAUCAAUAGAGAAAUGCAUAAUGAUUGUCGAAGAAAAGAAUCCACCAUCCUGAAGAAUGGCAAAUCAUUCUAGAUUAACAAUAAUCAAGCUAAUUUUUUUGACAAAAACAAUCAACUAUCCCAAAAUGAUAAUUAUUUAUCAUCAAUGAUUGCCAUAUGCAAAUAUUAACAACAUCAAAGUUAAUAAUAUAGCGCAUCUUAUUUCUCUCCCUUUAAGUCAACUGCAAAAGGGGCAAUUGCUUGAUGAAAGAGCCCUUAGUGGCUAUUUUAUCCCUAUUUAUCCCUCAAAGUUCGAAAGAUCCACAGUGACAGUAUAUCCAAAUCUCAUCUCAUGAUCACAUGUGUUACACUCACCCCCCCCCCCCCUUCAGAAAGUCAAUGUCCUUAUUAACUAUUGACUAACAACCCUUACUGAGCCAUAGAGAACUAACACCUCUAUUUCUGCACUAAAUCUAUUAAUCCUUUCAUUCAUUCAUUCAUAAUACACAUGGACCAAUAGUACAGAUACACCUAGUGUAAAUGAAAUCCACCGGGUGUAUGUGUAAAUGAAAUCCACCGGUGUAAAAUCCACCCUUUUAUGAAUUGCAUGCCAUACAAACAAAAUUGUGGCUAAGUUUUCAUUUUUUGUUUCUUGUGUUUAUAAUUGAGUUAGUGGUCUAAACCACCGGGCCGUCGGAUGAAGAUCGUGCGGUCCCUGACGAUUCUAGGGCGCCAUUGUCAUCGAAUCCUUAUCACGAUAGGGCGCUCUUGAUCGCUCUCCGGAUCAUCGAUUCCAGCGCGCGGCGGCGAGGGUUUCAACUAACCAAAUGGACGAGGAAUUGGCUAAGGUGGAGGCUCAAAUCGGGCUUCUUGAGCUGCAGAUCCAAGCGGCUGGGGAAUCUUUUCUCUCUGCCUUUCAGAGUGACAAUCUAUCUCUGGCGGACUAUUGGCAGAAGAAGGAAGAGCAGCUGCGGAAGGAAAAAGAACAGCUGCGGAAGGAAAAAUUACAGCUGCGGAAGAAGGAACUCCUCCUCCUCCAAUGUAAUGGUAAGUCAUUCUGUGUGUAUUUAGCUUUCCCCCUCGAUUUGGGGCGUUUUGCUGUGUGUGUGGUUCCAUGUGGCUAUGGCUGCUUUCGGCCAUGGUUAAGGAUUUUGCCAGAGGUGGCUUCAAUUCGCUUUUAUUUUGGGUUGCUGGAAGUGUGGCUUUUGGCUAUGCUGACGCAUGCUCCCCUGGUCGUCCUUGUAUGGCUAUGGCUGUUGAGACCCUGGUUUUUUCUUCUAGAUCUAAUACUAACUUUAUUUUGUUCUGAAUGUUGCAGUGCACGGACCUGGUAAGCAAUUGGGAAAGCCCUUUGUUUCCUAGCCCAUUUUCUGUCCAGUUCUUGGUAUUCCAUUUGUCCAGUUCUGGAUGCUACUUUAUCUAGUUGGGUGUCUUCUCUUUGGGAUGACUGGUAGCCUGACACUAUAGUUUGCUCAGUUCUGCUCACAAGUCUGUGCGUUCCUCCAAAGCCCCCUUGUUUGCUUUUCAUGUCUGUCUUGUGUUUUACUUGGUCAUUCCGCGAUGCCUUUUCUUUCAAAUUUCGUCGCUGCUAAUCUGGUAGCCCUCUCUGUCGAGUACCCUUCGCCUCUCAGAUCUGUGUUGCGAAAUCCCUGACCAUAACCACACAUGGAAGAGAUGACUAACCGAGUUCUCCUCUCCCGCAGCAGCCUCUCUUUCACCCGGAGCAGCAGCAACUCUUUAUCCCGGAGCGGCUGCUUUGCUUUCCCUGUCUGGUCACGGUUAAGGAUUUUUGCUUCCUGAAUCUGUUUCUUUCUUUCUGUGUGGAUAUUUGGUAAUCUCCGCAUCCUUGUGGUCAUUCUCACCCCUGUUUGCCCUUUGGCUGUGUUUAAUUCUGUGGCCAUUCCUCCAUAGACUUUAUUGUGCCUCUCACAGCAUCAGCGCCAGCAGCGGGACUUCCUCCAGCCGAUUCUUAGGUGCCUGGUAAAAAUGAUGUCUAGGGGACUGAAAGCCAUAAUUUUUUGUGUCAGACAAGAUCGCCUGGGCCAAGAAGCUGAACGAGAACCUGACCGCAGAUUUUGCUGACGAUGGCACUGACUGGACAAGCCAUGCGACUUUUCGGGAGCUCCAUACUUCCGCUUUCUCUGGAAUGGAGUAAAACAUACAUGUACAUGGGUCGCUCACUCUUACAGAGAUAAAAAGUUUCGUAUCGGCCUUGAGACACGGCACUUUGGAUAAUGACAACCUUCCUCCAGACCACUGCUCUCGCUACGGUGGCUGGAUAUCUUCGGCAACUUUGGAAGAACACCUCCAAGAAGGUCGUCUUUAUCAAUGGCGAAUGUUUAAUUGACAAUCCCUCGAGGACAAUGUGGCUGGCUCUUUUGCUGAGCUACAUAGACGACCUUCCAGCCGAGCUUUCAUGCUGGGGGCUGGACCUUGAAAGUAUUAGAAUUUUGGAUCCUGAUGCUGCGGGUAAAUGAAGUGAGUGUUGUGGAGGAUUUCAAUCCUUGUCCCCCUCAGGAUUUUCCAGAACUUGCUAAGCCAGAACAUCUUUCAGAGGUACACUGGUUUCUUCCUCUCCUUCAAAGCCUUCUCUUCCUGGAUUUCAUCACCAUUGUUAUCGGAAAACUUCACCUUUGGCUUGUACAUGCUGGGAUCCUUCUUCUUGAUCUUGGCUAUCAUCUCUAAAAUUAGUAUCUUUGCAGCACUCCAUCUUCCAGUCUUCCUCAUUUGAUGGCAAAUUCAUGUCCAGAAGCUUACACUUUCAAAGCAAUGCCAAUUUUGGCCUUUGCUUAGGAUAAUAAUUCAAAGUUGAAGAGAUUAGAAUACUCUUUCUUGAGCUAGUCAAUUGCUAUAAUAUAAAAACUGUUGGAGGGAUUUGAGAAAUAAAGGAGCAAAAUAAAAAUAUUGAACAGAAACAUUGAUGGGAAGACCAAAGUGAUGAAAGUAAAUGUAAAAAGAAAUAAAAUAAAAAUAAAGGGAAGGAAAAAAAAAUUUAAAAGUAUGAAACAAAAAGGAAAAGUCUCAAAUAUGCAAUCCUAAAAACAACUUGCAGUAAUAAAAGCUCAAACUCAAGAUUGCUUACACUCACCACAUAUAUACAUUUGUAUAAUUGUUGAAAACUGAUUUUAUUGUUAGUAUAGAUGAUUUUGCCACACAAUGCAACUGUAAAUGGCAAUGUGUGGCAACAAGCCAAGCAAUAAAACAUAAACCCACAAACCUUUAUCAACUUUUAUCAUUUUAUCAUUCCAGACACCACAAGCCAAAAUCCCUGCUUCAUAAACCAGAAUUCUGCAACAAGGAAAUUCAUUGCUCCAUUUCUCCAAGAGGAUAGAGAUGACACCUAAUGUCUAAAGCACUAUACCUCUAAUACCAUGUGAAGAGUCUCCAUCUAACACUCUAAAGAAAGAGAGCAGCUAAAACCUUAAAUUGACUCAAGCCACUUAGCUUGACUCUAACAGUGGUAAGAUAGGAUGGCAUUGGUGGCUGCCACAUUCUCUACUUUGGUGGCAGGAAGACCCUUUAUUCACAAUGUCUAGAGGGAUGAGCAUACCUAUACAUAGAAGCUGCUUAAACAAGCUAUGGCAUGCAAUUUGUAAAAGGGUGAGUGUUACUGCAGCAAAUUUCACUCACAAUACAGUGUCCAUAUGGCAGUUUUCUAUUGGUUUGGCAUUAAAUGUCAUUUGGAUCCCUCAUGGAUACCCCAUGGAUGCUGGCCCGAUGGGUUGAUGUCCCCAUAAUAUGAACAAUGUUCUAUACAUAGAUGCCACAUAUCAUCAAGUUUGACCCCAUGACAUAGGGAUUCAUUAGGUCAUAGGGUUUAGGAGAUGCUUCCUUGCUUUAGUGCCUGGUCAUGGCAGCAGGGUGCAAGCUGCCCCACUAAGAACCUAACCCUAAAGUGCGAUGGAAAGCGCAUGUUUCUUGGUAGCAGAUAUUUGCUAGUGAUUGGUUUUAAAUGUUUUUGUGGGCAGUGUUGGAAGUGGCUUUGAUUUACUACUCGAUUGCUCUCUAUAGACUUUCAAGUUCUUACCAUGAGUAUAGUUCCCUCGCUAGUUUACUUCAAAUUUCUGUCACUGAAACUUUUUCUUCUAGGUUACUGGAAGACGUGGAGGAAGACAAGAUGGAUGGCCUUCCAUCCAAUUUUAGUGAUUCGGACUGCGGUUCCAGUAUGGAUAGUGACAAUGAUGCUCUCCUAGAGGUUUGCUUAGUUUCUAGCCUCCUAAAUUCAUGAUUUGCACGUUUCUAGGCUUUCUAUAAUUUUUUGCAAUCGAGGGCAUUUGGUAGUCCAGCUGCAUUUAGCACUUGGAUGCACCUGACGAUCCUCAAGACUAAGACUACUGCUUUUACCUCGCAUGCUAUCUUAGAAUUUCUAAGCCAACACUAUACAAAUACAUACGGCUUGUCGAUCUAAAUUGUAGAGGUGUAUAUUACAGAGUACCACCCGAAGAAGUACUUCAUCACGUUCAAAAUAACAAUGCCAUGAAUUGAGGUGGCACAAACUGGAGGAUUAUCAAUUCUCAAUCUAGCUGUCGAAUUGGAGGAUACUAGUUUAGCCAAUGCCAAAUUUGUGAGGCUUUAGCCACUCACGAUCCUAGUAGGUUGGAACAAAGGCACAUGACAAGGAUUCGACAAUGGAUUUAUAGGAACGAGGAGGCACUUUGCCAUAUGGAUUGUGAGUAUUCUUUCAUUUCUGUUUUUUUGUCAACACAUGUGGUAACAUGCUUAUUGUAGCAUAUUGCAAGCUUGUAAGCUAUGGUUUCGAUGUACAUGCCAUUAUUUGCUGGGCAACUCAUUAUAUUGUAGCUUGCGAGCUAACUACCUCCAAAGAAUCCUAUGCAAUAUUCAACACAUAUGCACAGGCUGUUCGUCGAUUUGCAAGGCCCAAGCACAUCCGAAGCGACAAUGCUCCAAAACACAAUGAGGUUGAGAGGGACAGAGUCCUACAGCUAGGAGCUUCAUAUGUGGGACAUCAACACAUAACUAGGUACUCACAGCAUUAAAGUUUUUCCAAAUAAGGACUAAAUCAAAUUUGUUUUGCAGCCUAUAAAGCAUUUGUGGAGAGAGCUCUUUGAGUGUGUGGUGUGGUUUUAUAAGCACCUUUUUGAGUCCAUGGAAGAUAUAAGAAUUCUCGAUGUAUCUAAUCCAUAGCACAACUAGAGUCUAUGUUGUGGUUUUGCUCCGUACCUCAAGAAGGAUAUUUCACAUUGGGUUGCAACCUGGAACGUCCAUGAGGUCCGUCCGUAUUGACGUGGUGAUUACUUUAAACCAUCUUAUGUUCCUGCAAACUUAUUUCAACCGAUGGAACGAGAGUUUGGGUAAGAAUUUUGGUAAUGUUACAGAAUUCUUUAUUAAUUGUGCUUUUGUAGGAUUAUGCUGGCUGUUGGUGGAAAAGAUAUUGAAAAUGUUCCUGGACCAUUUCUCUCCAAUAUCGAAGGUGCAACUCUGUCAAAGGUAAUCUUUAGAACAAAAAUAGAACAAUUUCUUUAAAUCUAUUUUGUUGUUUUUAGCUACCUUACAGGCUCAUGGCACUGUUCGAAACCAAGCAUUUUUUAUGCAUCAGGAGGGACUCAACUUGGACGAACAAUAUCUACUUCAUUUGGAUCUAAUAAUGGAGUGUGCAAUGGCUGAUGUUGCAGGUGUAGAUCUACCACUUUACAUUGAGAGUGCCUUGCCUAUAACAACACCAGUGAAGCAAGGAGUUUUGGAAAAAUUAUACUUGGCCAUACUUGGAGAAAAUUGAGUGUUUUUUAGUGUACAUUUUAAAUUUAAAUUCAAUUCUUGAUUUCUUCAAUUUUAGGGUUCCCACAUUCGAGAUUUGGGUUUACACCAAGUCCCACCCAUAUUAAUUGUGCCUUGGAUACGAGGCAAUUUCAUUUUAUGACAUGAUUUUGUCGAUGGUUCAUUCGUUCUUCCAAUUGAUUCACGUCAUUUAACUGGAGGCAAGGCUUUUAAUGCACACUCCCCCAAUCGCAAGACCAUCGCCCAAGCAAGAGCGCCACAGCUAUGAUGGUGGGUAGCUUCUCCUUGAUCAAGUUUGCAUAAUCAAUCCCUUGUGGUUUCUAGGUUCGAAGCAAGAAUGCUGCACGCCUCAAUACCAGUAGACACUAUGCAGGAAACACCUCGUGAGCAUGCAACUAAGCACUUGAUGUUCCGCAAUCGGUACAGCUAACAAUCCUGCGAGACACAUGCCAACCACUUGAUUUUCCAAGCUCCACAACAAGGACAUCAACUCCAACAACAUCCCAUCCAUAGCUCUUGAUUGCAUUUGAGCAAGUAGAGUGCCACCUAACAUUGCAUACAUUGCAACAUAUGCAGAACCUCUAACAUGUUUCCUUCUCCUCACCUUCCUUGGAAAGUAGCAGCCCGAAUGUCCAAAAUGAGCAAGUCUGAAUACCUCAUGCCCACAGUGUUGUCCAAUCUAGAAUGUUGCCACCAACACCAAGUAUAAGACGUGCUCACGGAACCCCAUAUAGUGCCACUGCUACCAGCCCCACAACUCCACUAGCUGCUACUACUCUCGCAACUCCAUCUACUGGUACAAGUGUCAGUACUUGGCCAUCUACCUCCCGAAGCAACAAGCGGUCUAGCUCAGUAGGUUUGUCAUUUGUACCUAUCUUUUUUCCAUGUGUUGUUUUGCAUAGGGUGAGUUGACAAUGCCGCCACACUAGCAAGCUUAUAGUUCCUCAUCAGCAUUCCACAACUACUCCCAAGGAUCGACAUCAUCAUUUAGUGGAGCUUCAACAUCCAGAUAUAUUCAAGCUGAUGCUCAAGGUGGGCUGCCAUGUGAGCCACAAGUAUAACAUGACCCUAUGCACUCUUCAUUUCUUUUUUCUUUGGAUUUGUUUAACUCAUUUUCGUUUUAUUGUGCUAGACUCUCUCACCGCUUGUGGCUGUAGUGCACACCUAUACCGAUUACAAUCGGUAGUCCUUAUUUUGUCAUCGUGGACAUCGUGGCAGUCAAUCCAAAGUCAUUGGUGGGAUGUCACCUACGACACCCUUGGUCCCCCGCCCGUUCACCACAGUUCUUAUCACGAAGUGGAUUGCAAUCCCGAAAACUUUUUUGCACACUUGUAUGGGCAGAAAAGAUAGCCAUCUGUGAAAGUGACGGAACUUGACGAGCUGGCAGUGGACCUCCCAAAGUGUCUCAUAUGGGGUGGCUUAUACUCCAGUAUUCCUUUCCAGCCCAGCACGGCCCAACAUGCAAUUCUACUAUCACUCCAAGCCUCAAGAAUCCAACUGUGAGACACAAAAUCCCUAGGCCCCAAAGUGGAGCCGAAAGGGUGCCACGUGGUAGUGGCCAAAGUGAAAGCCAAAUGAACAUAACAUGUUUGGACUAAAAGCUCCGACUUGAAAGGUUGAGAGCGGGAGUGGAACUCCCAACGAAGUGUUCGAGGAACAAGCACAAAGCAAGCAAUGAGUGAGUCUCUAGAAAAGGGACACAAGAGGACCAACACAUGACACGUGGCAGAGUCCGAGAUGGAGUUCGAGACGGAGUCCGAGAUAGAGUCCGAGAUGGACCCGAGAUGGAGUUCGAGACAGAGUCCGAGAUGGAGUCCAAGAUGAAGUCCGAGAUGGACCCGAGAUGGAGUUCGAGACAAAGUCCGAGAUGGAGUCCGAGAUGAAGUCCGAGAUGGACUCGAGAUGGAGUUCGAGACAGAGUCCGAGAUGGAGUCCGAGAUGGACCCGAGAUGGAGUCCAAGAUGGACCGAGACGGAGUUUGAGAUGGAGUCCGAGAUGGACCCGAGAUGGAAUCCGAGAUGGAGUCCAAGAUGGACCCGAGAUGGAGUCCGAGAUGGAGUCCGAGAUGGACCGAGACGGAGUCUAAGAUGGAGUUCGAGAUGGAGUUUAAGAUGGACCCAAGAUGGAGACCGAGGUCGAGACUGAGACCGAGACCAAGACCGAGACUGAGACCGGGACCGAGACCAAGACCGGGGUUGAGACCGAGACCAAGAUCGGGACCGAGACCGAGACCGAGACCGAGGCCGAGGCCGAGACCAAGCCCGAGCCCGAGGAUGAGUCCGAGUCCGAGUUCGAGUCUGAGUCCGAGUCCGAGUCCGACUCUAAGUCCGAGUCUGAGUCCGAGUCCAAGUCUGAGUCCAAGUCUGAGAGGGUGAAAGCCCAAAGCGUUUGUCUCCCAAACCCUGGGGGGUUUGGUGAGCUCCAAAAGUAUAGUGAGGGGGAGAACUGCAGUGGAGCCAGUUUGGCCAAGAAAGGCUAGUUUGGCCCAGGAAGGCUGUACCCAGUGUUGGGUGGUGAGCUACCCACUAGAAAGUCCAAGACUAGGGUGAACAUGGACUGACAAGCAAGGUAACUUGGUGAAGUGUUCAAGAGUCGGCUCUAGUUCCCCUAGGAGAUCGACUGGCUGAUACUCCCAAUCCAAGUGUGGGUGGCACUACAUACUUGGAUACUUGGCAUGGCUCAACGGAACCUCGCUCUAAGCCCAUGGCUAGAGCACCCAAAGGCGGAAGGCGAGAAGAGUACCCACGAGGCUCGCGUAAGGCUACAGUGUUCCGAAAUGUUGCCCCAAAGUCCCAGACUGUGAAAAGGAAAAGGAGCCAUCUUUUAGUGUGGAAGUCAAGGAUACGGUUGUGUGAGGAAGAAGUCCCAGAGGACCGUAGGACUUAGUAGUCGAGCUUGUGGGCUUUGAUCCAAUGGCAAUGUUGGCGAACACGGCCAUGAACAAAAAGGGACAUGGUGGGGACUAGAAAAGGGGUAUUGGGGAAAGCUAAUCCCCAUGUCUGUGGGCAUCCUAAGGAUGCUAAGGAGUGGAUUUAGGAUGAUCACUCAUGGAUGGAUGGCCCAGUCCUUGAGAGACGGGACUGUGAUGCAAGUGGUGUUAGACCACCGGUGUGACCAAGGUGAAGGGGCAUGGCCUUAGCGUAACAGGUUGAUAAGUCAAUGGUACCUUGGGGUGUCGGUCAUGGGAUCAGACACAUGGAGCACUUGGACCAAGUGCAAAGGUUGAGUGGCGGGGAUGCUAUUCUUGGGGCUAGCAAACCCAAGUCCAAAAUAGGACUUAUGGAGGUUGUGAGUGAGAUUCCUCCAAGUGGUCAAAGGUGUGGUUAAGUGACUAAAGUAGAAUGGAAAAUUAAGUCGCUUACACCAACCUUCAUCCAUGACCAACCCAGAAGCAUUUGUCCAGCAUGCAAGGCAGUCCAAUGGUGGUGAGGCCCAUGCCGAGUUUGCAAAAUUUGGCCUCAGCUCUAUCCGGCCUUGCUAUUAGCCUCCUCAAACAUCAUGGGGAACUAUAACAAACAAGGCCAAUAGCAACCAGGUAACAAUAAUAUACCUAUACAAUAUUAUGGAGCAUUUUAUUGACAAACAUUAGCUAAGUUAUCAAAAACAGGCCCAAACAUUCGAGGAGAAGGAUGUUCGUGAACAUAAGUCAUUUUGUUUUUUAAGUUCCCUCCUCACAAAUAUAUGUUGUGGUCUUUGCAGUUGUAGCUACUACAAAUACCUUGACUGCAAAUGAUGAUCCAUUGGUGAUAGAGCCAUUUCUCCCAAGGCUAGCCAUGCAAGAACUAAACCAAGACGAGAAUAAUGAAGAAGAAGACUUUGUGGAUGAAGAGGACAUUCUUCCAUUACCGAAAGAUACUCUCCCCAUACAAGACAACAUCACUGGAGUCAAAGAAUAAGGUGAUAGUGGGGAUGAACCGCAUCAAAGAUCUCCGGAGAGAUCCUUGUCACCAGAGAUAGUGGCUCCAAGCCAUGUGGCUAGUAAAAAGCAUUAACAUAAAUGAAUAUUUUCUUCAUUUUCUAAUUUUUAAGUGCAGAUAAGCCAAUGGUAAUGUAUGACAGUGAUGGCGGAGGCUUUGAAGACCAUGGUGUGCUUCCACCCCCCUUUCUAGAGGGAAGUAGCUCCACUUCAUUUACUCUUAUGGAGUUGCUUGACAACUUUUCUAUAGUAGAGUAAGAUAAUUGAAAAUUAUGCCAUUCAAAAUUGAACUAACAUUUGCAUGUAGAUUGUUUGAGCGUCAACAACAAUAAAUUGAUGCUACUAAUGCAUUUAAUGAAGUUGUUCUAUUAACCACUCAAAAUAAUGACAACUUCAUCAUGCUGUAGCAUGAGGAGGUUUCUACCUUACAGAAUGCCACUACAGCCCUUGAGGCGAGGGCACAAGGGGAUGUUGAAGUUCUCUCACAAGUGUAGUGGCUGAAACACAAGCUUCUUAGUUAUUUUGGUGUGGAGAGCACAAGUGACAAAUAGAUGCUAGACGUUGUUGCUAGACACUCUAAGUUAUAUUGGGCUAGCGAUGAAAUAUUUCUUCAGCGUGUGCUUUUUCAACCAUGCCAUGCUUCAUUGGUAGGAUUGAGAGAGUGUUCUCCUUAAGCUUGGCCUUUCAGAAGCGCAGUACGAAGAUGUGUUUUGUGACAAUACAAUCCAACAACUCCUUGCUAAAGUAAGUAUCAAUGUGCCUUCUUCAAUUAUUGAGUCCACAAUAGUAUGGUUCAUUAAAAAGAGGUAUGUGUAUCUAUUUCUUAGCACUUAGUAACAUUUUAUUAUUUUGUGCAAGGACCUACGUAGAAAUUGGGUGGCUACACAACAAUUAAGAGAACUAUUUGACACUACUGAAACACUGUAUUGUAAGUUCUCUCGUUUUUGCAUCGAGAAAGCCAUCCUUUGGCCAUACAGACUUGCUCGUACACGUUUGAGGCCGUCUCACAUUCUGGUAAGCAAUGGAUUGCUUAUGAAUUGAAGUUCCCUCACUUGUCCUUCCAGAUUACACCAAACAAUGAAUUCAGUUGUUUCUAAUUCACCUUCAAUACUAAUCUCUGCACACUGAAUUAUAAAGUGGUCUAUGCAUUUGAGAUUGGAGGAGCUUUGGUGUGGGAGGAAUCCACAAUAGAUGCGGGUGGGCCACAUGCAAAAGCCAUUAAGAAGGCUGUUCACCAAAUUUCAGGAUCGGUAAGUUUAAUUUUCAUUUGGCUCACUAGAGUAACUUUGUGUUACAGAUGCAUGGACUGUUUAUGCUUAGGGAAGGAGCCACAUAUUGGCAUCCCAGGAUGCUAAUGCAUUUUAGGAUGUUAGGACAAGAAGAGCGAGAUGUGGUAAGUUAGGUUUAAAGCACAAGUUUUAUAUGCUCCUCAUUUCUAUAUGCACAGGCUAUCUUUGUGGGAUGGUUGCUAUUCCAAAUGUUCGAAUGUAAUGCACAGGUAUUUCGCAGGUGUACAAUUGCAAUAUUGGCAAUUGCAGCCCGAGAAGUUCCAGAUGAGAAUGAUUGAUGACUUGCCCAAGGAAGACUAUAUGAGAUGGACCUCAAGGCAUACGUGCCGUAUAUCUGGAAUGCACUUAACCAAUUGCGAGGUGCAUCAAGCCUAAAGGAGGAGGGCGAUGUGGAUUCCAUCUUAGAGAACCUUGCAUUUACUGACUACAACACAGUGCUUGAGUCUAGACUCACCGAACUUGGUGAAGGUUAUGAGCAAGUUGUGGAGGCAUGCGUGGCUGUGGUGGUCUGGCAUUACCUAUUCAUCGAGCCAAACGUAGUGGGAUAUUUACUCCGAGAUGGCUUCCAACACUCAAUGUGCAUGGAAGCUCGUCAGAGGCCUUACAAGGGUCUAGCAUUGUUAGGUGGGCUUUCACUCAUUGGGAGAGAUGCUUUGUUACAAGUCUUCCAGGUAAGGAUGAUCAUUCCUUCCAUGGAGUUCAUCAACUGCCUAAUCUUUGAUCAGGACUUUGGAGAGAACUUCCACAGCUGGAUUGUGGACAUCAUUCGAGGUAACUAUUUACUUUCAGAAACAACUAAAACUCUUGUAUGUUUGAACAUUUUAUAAAUAUGAGCCUGAAAGAGUUAUCCAAGUUCCAUCACUUUGUAGUUGAUUCUCUAGAGCUCCGACCGGGAGAGCCUAUUUGGAUCCACAUUGAGAGACAGGGUACAUCAUCUACUCAAUUUUCCAGGUUCUCCACAUGCACACGAGAAGUUUUCUUCCCUUUAACAUACUUGUUAAUGGAGUGGACCACAAGAUCCAUCGGGCACUCCAAAAUCUAGAGAGUUUGUACGGAUUGGGCUGAUGUUGUGGAAGUACCAUAAUCUAGACACUUUCACAAUAAAAAUAGAUAAUUAUUUUGAAAUAUGUUUCACACUUUUAAAGAGACUCUUUCUAGUUCAUUGGCGAAGUUAAAGGUAAGAAUAUUUAAAAUAUUCCAUAAAUGCCCAUUAUAGGCACUUGCGGCCCUUUUGGCUUAUGCUUGCCUCACCAAAGGUAAUCACUAUAGCUUCCAAAGUAGCUCCUUGUUUAGGAUUUGGGUCAAAAUUAUUGAGUUUGGGUGCUACAUGAUGCCCAUCCUCGCUUGAGGAACUCUCAACCUAUUUCAUAGUAGAAUCAAAAUCACCCUCUGGGUCUGUGAACUUGUCCUUGCUUGCAUCUCGAGAAGUAACAUAUCCCUUGCUGUCACUUUCUUCAGCAAGACUUUUCCCCUCGGUGACUGGCACAACAUUAAAAGUAGUCUUGGGCUGCCUUGUUAGAGGGAUUAUCAAGUCUUGAGAAGAGGAGGCAUCAUAUAGAAUCCUUAGUCCUGUCCUUUGUUGGAUCCAUUAUUGUGCCUCAAAAGAAGUCAUAGAAUCCUCUCCAAUUUGCCAUGUCAGGAGGAAACCCAAAAACCUCAAACAUUACAAAAGGGUUAGAGUAUAUAGAAAACUGUCACAAAUUUACUUUUACCAAAGUGAGCAUGAGCUUCCAAUCUCUGAAAAAUCCAAUUCUUCAACCGUAGCGUGUAGCAUACAUUGGAUAGUUUUGCCCCAUGCUUGGAAACCCUUUUUACAAAUUUCAAAAUUUGAAAUGAUUAUGAUUGGAAAAUAUUGUAAGUGUCCAUUGUUAUUGCUCUUCUCACCUAAAUGUUACCACAUGCAAUUGCAACUUUCAUAUUCUCAAAUCUCCUUUAGCAUGCUCCUCUUAAGAGAACUCUAAGUCCAAUUUGAAACAAUUAUAAUUGGAAAAUGUUGAAAGUGUCUUAUGUUAUCCUAAAUGUUACUACAUGCAAUUGCAACUUCCACAUUCUCAAAUCUCCUUCAACAUGCUCCUGUUGAGAGAACUUCAGGUCCAAACAUUAACACUAUGCACCUUUGUGUAGUAUACAAUUGAAGUAUGAGCCCCACCAAUUCAUCGAAUUGCUUAAACUUCAAUCUACUUUUGAGUCAUAUGCAAAUCUUUUAAGCAUCAUGGUACAAAACUAAAGUGUUAAGAGAGUUACAUUGGAAAUCAAUGGCAACGAAAGAUAAACUCAAUGAGAUGCAUUAAAGACAUAACUCCAGACAAUAUAUAUCCAUGGCUUUCCAAUCUUUCAAAUCUUUCCUUCUUUCAAAUCAACUUGGAAAGAUUGGAAACUCCAUCUUCCAGAUCCUUAGCCUAGAUGGAGUUCACUUACACUUGCUAUGAACACUAUGUUAAAAGAGGUGUGCCAAAAAAGGAUAAUUUAGUUCUUUUGCCAUGAGUGCCAAGAGCAAGAUGUGAGAACAUAGUGCUCUAGAUAGGGUAGUAUGGUAUGCAAUUUAGUCAAUUGUCUAUUUAGUUUGCAACAUUAACAAUUUGCUAGAAUGCAUGGGAUGAAUGGGUCUAUGGGCCAUGAAUGGCUCCAUUCCAUAGCAUGGGUCAUUGCUAUGGGCAUUAUGCCACAUCUGGGGCAUAAGGAUUGGAUAUUCCUAAAAUUUGUUUUUUUCACACUCAUAAUACAUGUGACCAAUAGCAGGCAUACACGUGGUGUGAGUGAAAUCCACCGUUGUAAAAUCCUUUUUUACAAAUUGCACACCAUACAAACAAAAUUGUGGUUAAGUUUUCACUUUUUGUCUCUUGUGUUUAUAAUUGAGUUAGUGGUCUAAACCACCGGAUGAAGAUCGUGCGGUCACUGACGAUUCUAGGGCGCCACUGUCGGGUUUCACGAUAGGGCGCUCUUGAUCGCUCUCCGGAUCAUCGAUUCCAGCGCGCAGCGGUGAGGGUUUCAACUAACGAAAUGGACGAGGAAUUGGCCAAGGUGCAGGCUGAAAUCGAGCGUCUUGAGCCGCAGAUCCAAGCGGCUGGGGGAUCUUUUCUCUCUGCCUUUGAGAGUGGCAAUCAAUUUCUGGCGGAAUAUUGGCAGAAGGAGGAAGAGCAGCUGCGGAAGGAAAAACAGCAGCUGCGGAAGAAAAAAUUACAGCUGCGGAAGAAUGAACUCCUCCUCCUCCAAUGUAAUGGUAAGUCAUUCUUUGUGUAUUUAGCUUUCCCCCUCGAUUUGGGGCGUUUUGCUGUGUGUGUGGUUCCAUGUGGCUAUGGCUGCUUUCGGCCAUGGUUAAGGAUUUUGCCAGAGGUAGCUUCAAUUCGCUUUUAUUUUGGGUUGCUGGAAGUGUGGCUAUGGUGGCUUUUGGCUAUGCUGCCGGUGGACGCAUGCUCCCUUGUGGAUCCUUGGUCGUCCUUGUAUGGCUAUGGCUGUUGAGACCCUGGUUUUUUCUUCUAGAUCUAAUACUAACUUUGUUUUGUUCUGAAUGUUGCAGUGCGCGGGUAAGCAAUUGGGAAAGCCCUUCGUUUCCUUUCACAUGCAUCCCCAUUUUCUGUCCAGUUCUUGGUAUUCCAUUUGUCCAGUUCUGGAUGCUACUUUAAUGCUGUCUGUCUAGUAAUAGUUGGGUGUCUUCUCUUUGGGAUGACUGGUAUGUUUUUCGGCCUGACACUAGAGUUUGCUCAGUUCUGCUCACAAGUCUGUGCAUUCCUCCCCCUUGUUUGCUUUUCAUAUGUUUACUUGGUCAUUCCGCGAUGCCUUUUCUUUCAAAUUUCGUCGCUGCUAAUCUGGUAGCCCUCUCUGUCGAGUACCCCUUCGCCUCUCAGAUCUGUGUUGCGAAAUCCCUGACCAUAACCACACAUGGAAGAGAUGACUAACCGAGUUCUCCUCUCCCGCAGCAGCCUCUCUUUCACCCGGAGCAGCAGCAACUCUUAAUCCCGGAGCGGCUGCUUUGCUUUCCCUGUCUGGUCAUGGUUAAGGAUUUUUGCUUCCUGAAUCUGUUUCUUUCUUUCUGUGUGGAUAUCUGGUAAUCUCGGUCAUUCUCACCCCUGUUUGCCCUUUGGCUGUGUUUAAUUCUGUGGCCAUUCCUCCAUAAACUUCGUUGUGCCUCUCACAGCACCAGCGCCACCACCAGCGGGACUUCGUCCAGCCGAGAUUGACGUGCCUGGUAUGAAUGAUGUCUAGGGGACUGAAAGCCGUAAUUUUUUGUGUCAGACAAGAUCGCCUGGGCCAAGAAGCUGAACGAGAAUCUGACCGGACACUGACUGGACAAGCCAUGCGACUUUUCGGGAGCUCCAUACUCCCGCUUUCUCUGGAAUGGAGUAAAACAUACAUGUACAUGGGUCGCUCACUCUUACGGAGAUAAAAAGUUUCGUAUUGACCUUGAGACACGGCACUGACAACCUUCCUGGAACUCUGGGCUCUGGGAAGACCACUGCUCUUGCUACUGUGGCUGGAUAUCUUCUGCAACUUUGGAAGAACACCUCCAAGAAGGUCGUCUUUAUCAAUGACGAAUGUUUCAUUGACAAUCCCUCGAGGACAAUUGUGGGUGGCUCUUUUGCUGAGCUACAUAGACGACUUUCCAGCCGAGCUUUCAUGCCGGGGGAUGGACCUUGAAAGUAUUAGAAUUUUGGAUCCUGAUGCUGCAGAUAAAUGAAGUGAGUGUUGUGGAAGAUUUCAAUCCUUGUCCCCCUCAGGAUUUUCCAGAACUUGCUUAGCCAGAACAUCUUUCAGGUACACUGGUUUCUUGCUCUCCUUCAAAGCCUUCUCUUCCUUUAUUAUCGGAAAACUUCACCUUUGGCUUGUACAUAUGCUGGGAUCCUUCUUCUUGAUCUUGGCUAGCAUCUCUAAAAUUAGUAUCUUUGCAGCACUCCAUCCUCCAGUCUUCCUCAUUUGAUGGCAAAUACAAGCCUACACUUUUUAAGCAAUGUCAAUUUUGGCCUUUGCUUGAGGAUAAUAAUUCAAAGUUGAAGAGAUUAGAAUACUCUUUUUUGAGCUAGUCAAUUGCUAUAAUAUAAAAACUGUUGGAGGGGUUUGAGAAAUAAAAGAGCAAAAUAAAAAUAUUGAAUAGAAACAUUUAUUGGAAGACCAAAGUGAUGGGAAGUAAAUGUAAAAAGAAAUAAAAUAAAAAUAAAGGGAAGGAAAAAAAAUUAAAAAGUUAUGAAACAAAAAGGAAAAGUCUCAAAUAUGCAAUCCUAAAAACCAUUUGCAAUAAUAAAAGCUCAAACUCAAGAAUGCUUACACUCACCACAUAUAUGCAUUUGUAUAAUUGUUGCUAUAGAAAAUGAAAACUAAUUUUGUUGUUAAUAUAGAUGAUUUUGCCACACAAUGGCAAUGUGUAACAACAAACCAGGCAAUAAAAAAUAAACCCACAAACCUUUAUCAACUUUUAUCAUUUUUUCAUUCCAAACACCACACACCUCAUAAACCAGAAUCUACUACUAUAAGGAGCAAACGCCAAACUUUGUGGGCCGCCGGAUCCAGCCAAUCGGGGCCAUCCGAUGGGGGGUAACUGUAAAGGGGUUAUUUCUUUAACCACGUGUUAGCGAAUAAUCGCGCUGAUGUUUGCCCCCGGCCAAUGGGAGGCGGCCAAGCCAUGUGGGGCGGGAGAGGAAGGCCCAGCGACGCAUGGCACAUGCAAAGUGUUGACCGGAGAUUGCUGCUCCAGGGCGUCACUCCGGGCAGGAUCAAGUGGGUCGUGGCCCUUGGAGCGUGCUGUGGAUCGCGAUUUCUUCCGGUGGGUAAGCAAAUCCACUCCCAAAUGGUUGCUGCUGGCUGGGAUUCGAGCUUGAUCCUGUCUACUGCGCUGAUUGACAUGUAUGCCACGUGUGGCAGUGUAGUGCACGUGGUUUUGACCCUUUAUCCUAUGGUGAUUUACCAUAGGAUAACACCACGAAGCGGAACCUAAACCCUCUUUGUGCCACGUGACAGAUGCCACGUGUCACAUGCCACGUGUCCAUGCCAUGUGUCCAUAGGAACCCGAAGUUCAAGGCCUUGGGCCAUUGAACGAAGGAACGGUGCCAAACUCCCAAGCAUGGAGCCAAGGAGUGACGGAACCGAACCACGGAGCAACUCCCGAGCAUAAAGCCCAAGGAGUGAAGGGACAGGAGCCCGGAGUGACUUGGAACAGUCCUGGAGCAACUAGCAUCCCAAUGCCAGGACCAGCACACAAAACGGAGCCAAACGGAGUCUGGCGCUAUUUCGGCAUACCGGUGGCCUAACGCGAGGAUAUGGGUACUCCACCAACUAGCAUGGAAUGGAACUUGGGCUUAGACCCAAGCCGGACGCAAAACAAGGACAGGCACGCAAGCGGGAGCUAGACUAUGCCUCAGGUUGGUCGGCCAUGCCCGACCUACCCACUAUCCCUACUAUACAUUUGGAACCCCCCACAGCCCCCCCCCCCCUUGAGGAACACACGCUUUGGGCUUUCACCCCAAGCCUCCCUUAGUAUCAGGAGUUAGUCUCUGGGACAAGCUCGAAACUUACUAAAUAUGGAAUGUCCUUAGAUUGCGAAUUUGGACACGGGACGAACACCAUUGUGUUCAGGCCGAUCUCUACAUUCCGUAGAUAUGCCAAAUGAGCAAAUCUGGACACUUUCCAUAAAUAGCAUUUGGGACCGAAAUGAGACUAACACAAAGGGCAUGAUAGCGAGGGUGUUUGGCAGACACGGUAAGCUAUCAUCCAGCAAUAUUGAGGGACCAAUCUCAAUACGCGAGGGUUCUUGUCAAGCCAGUGCAAGACAGAGCAAAAGAGAACUAACAAGCCGGGCCAAGUAUGCUCAGCUAAAUAGACACUUAGGAAUUCCUUCCUUAUGCUCAUCCGGCCAAGUACAGAUGCAAAGUCUAGUUUACUAACACUUGAACAAGAGGGGCCAAUAAAGGGAACCAGCAGUACCGACCUCCUGCCAUCGUGGCAGUAAGGUAAGAGUGUCCGUAAGGACUAGUCGACAGGUAACUUUCGAUACCCGAAGUCACAUGCGCGACACUCUCCCCCCCUAGGGAAGAUCGACGUCCUCGUCGAUGCAUACUCGAGUCUAGAAUACCGCCAAGGAAACAACUCCAGAAAAAGUUCACGGUACUCACACUAUGUGAGAAAUGCACCAACUUAAAUGAGUUAGGGGGCAACCUCUUUGUCUAACGCGGAUGCGCUACCAGCUCAGACACCUUUCAGCCGUCGCCGACAAGGAAAUGACCAACGGAGUUAGCCACCCUUGCUGCUCUGGGAGUCACCCAGCUUACAAAAGUGUGAUAUGCCCUGCCCGCAGGAACAUAGAGAGAGAAGCCAGAAGCCCCAACCCUCCUAAGCAAAGAAACCAAACCCGUCGGUAAGGUUUAGAUAGACUACUGUAAACAGGCAGUUAGAGUUGUUUACACGGUCACGCCCUUUUAACGGAAUAAGGAACAUCGACAGAGAGGCGGGUUAUGUGACUAGUCUACAGUAGCUACCCCAUGACUAGAGAUUUCAACAUGCACACGAAGUGCCGAAGCCAGUCCGCCUAUACUAGCCCAAACUCAAAGAUCAAUAGAUGGACAAUAUCAAAGUCAGAGACAAUGAUAUUUUAGAAGGUUAAUUAUCAGUGAUUAUAUCUUAGAGUAGAACACAAAAGUAUUCUAAGCAAGUUAUCAUCCGAUAAACCAAUAGUAUUGUACAGGAACCACCAAGAUCAUCAUAAUUGGUAAAUAUAGGAUUCACCAUCAAACAAAAUUCAAUAGCAAGUAUAUCAUCAAGUAAACUCAAUGAUAAAGUUUAACUAUUAAAGAUUGCAGAUAGAAUACUAAACAACUUACGAAAGACAACUCAAAGAACACAAAGUAUCAUUGACUGAUAAGCAAAAUGCUCGCGAAUGUAUCACCCAAAGGAAAUAACAUCCAAAUCUAUCAAAACUAACUUGAGCAACAAUCAACAGAAGAGAAUGAAUGUGGUAAGACCAACAAACACUCAUUCCUGCCAACUAUCACAAAAACUAAUCUGAAUAGAUCCCAGCCAACAAUACCAAGGAACUCAAGUUGCCUAAGCAAGUGUCAGCAACAUCCUACUAAUGUCUCAAACCCAAGAGACCAAUCCAAAGCAAAUCACAAAGAACAUGUGAUAUUGCGAAAAGCCACAAGCCAUCAAAGAGAACAACUAACAAUCAUGAAAGAUCAUCAAUCAUCCCAUCAAUAAAGAGAUGCAUAAUCAUCGUCUAAGAAAGAAUCCACUACCUCAAAGAGCAACGAAUCAUUCUAUAUCAACAACAACCAAGCAAAACCCUUGACAAGGAUAAUCAACUAUCUUAGAUGAUAAUUAAUCAUCACCAAUGAUUGCCAGAUGCAAAUACUAACGUCAACAUCGAAGCUAAUGAGCCAAAAUGCCUUCCCCAACAACUUCGAACAAAUGGAACAACGAUCAUAAAACUCAAAGAACCAAAAGCUCGAAGAAGUCUAUAGCUAAGUCUUGCCUAAUAAUGAUCACAAGCUUUGCAUAAACUAACUUCAAUGCUAAAGAAGAAAUCAUGGUACAACCCACAAUAUCCUCCUCAACACAUCCAUAAGCUAAACUUCAUAAUGCAAAGCUAAUGAAGAGCAUGUCUGCAUCAAUCCAAAAGCUAAGCAUAACAAAGCUAUGCUUAACAAGUGAUCAUCAAACGAUCCUCCAUGAAUCCAUCUAUAGCAAGACGUAACUCACAUCAUAACAAGCACAAGAAGAAUCAUCAAUGAUCGAUAUAUUCCAACUCAAAUCCAAUAAGGAUUCAAACAUUCUAAUAUCAAUCACUAACUCUUCCGCUUGUAGAGUUAGCAUAGUUCACGACUGAAUCACUUUUCAAGGAAAAGCUCAAAGCUCAACCCCUACUAAAUAAUCUCGUUUAGAACACAACUAACUCAAACUUGCCACUCAGUUCAUUUGAACGUCAACAUAGUUGCUAAUUAGCAAAUGCACGAAUGCUAAUAACACAAAGCUAUAGCCAAAUCAUCGACACUAUCUUCAUCAAAACUAAUGAAACUCGACAUCAAUCUUGCGGAGAGACAUCUCAUUUCACUAAAAUCUUAACAUCAACAAUGUCAACAACAAGGCAUCACUUCAAUGCCAUCAACACUAGAACAAAGCGAGAAGAAAGCACGAGUGUAUCACCACUCAAAACUCUCUAGCAACUAAGCUAACCAAGGUCGAAGAUACUUUACUCGAGUAUCCGAGACUAAUUCUUCAACAAUACUCAGUUACAGAUAACACUUCAUCAAGGAGUGAAUCACCACAUCCAAGACUCCAUGAAAUCCAACACUAUGAACUAAACGCAACCAAAUGAUAUCAACAGAGGUAGAGUCGAUAUGCCAACAUGGAAAACCCACGUAAGUCUAACAACACAAUCCUCCGCAACCCCAUUCGGUAAAGCAAGCCCAUCACUGCUAAAUCAUCAUCGAGUGAAGCAAGUGUCAAUAGUCUUUUGACAAAGUCUACAAGCAAUCAUUAGUCGCAAAGCAACUAACAAUCACUCUUUCAACUUGCCUUCACAAGACCAAAACACUAAACUCAUGUCAUCGAGUCAUACACUUGUCCAACAUGAACACGAUACCUCCGGUAUGAGAUAAAAGUUCAUAGACAAGCACAAACCAAAUGACCACUCAAAUCCAACUCAACCACGAUAAGCUCACCAAAGCAUUUAGCCAUUAGCUCUGAGCAUGCCUUGAAGAGGCUAGCUAAGCAUGAUCAACACUUAGUCGAAACUAAAGUGAAGACCAUGAGAUGGACUUAUAUCGGUACACAACCUCCUUAUAGACAAAGCUAUAGUACGGGUACCAACAUCUCAAACUCAAACAACUAAGUUGGACAUCACCAUUCUCAGCCAAGGCGCAAGGCCACCAAGACUAAGUCAAGAUCAGUGAGAGCUCACUACUCUCAUAGAGUCUAACAAAAUGCAAAGUGCAACCUACCACCAAGCAUAACGCUACAAAAGAAAGGCACAAGGGUCACCUUUCUGGAAAAGUGCAACGGCCACUUUUCUACACUAACUCCAGACUCUAUCCAACUCAAUUGCCUUAGCCCUAAAAGUUAGCAUCCCUUUCGGGUCGCAUCAUACAAACUACUUACUAAGAUCUAAGCCAACCGAAGUCAACUCCAACCCCUUCACUAGUUUGUAUUGGCUUUUGAAAAUGGAAUGGUUUUCGAGCAAAGUGAUAACAGAUCAGCCAUUGGAAAAGUCUAAGAAAAUUUGUGGAAAAAAAAAUCUUCCAAUCCUAGAAAAAGAAUGACUCUCAGUCUAGGAAUUCAAAUUUUCAAAACUCAACCAACUUCCUCCUACUUACAACUUCACAUAGGUUCACCUCAACACAAAUUCUCAUGACCUAUAGUAUGCUUAAGCCUCGAACAUCUUUCUGCCCAUUUUUCCAAUAUCCAACACCGACAUCCGUAAAAUGCAAAGUGAACAUCCAAGGCUUGAUCACGAAGACCACAUCUUCGGAUAUCCACAUUGCACUAACACUCUUCUUCAACCACCUUCAAGAUCCAAUGUGAAGCUAAAACACUAACAAGAAAAAUGACAUAGAAAAUCAAGCUCUAAGGAAAAUCCUCACCACUUGAAAUAACAAUGCCACUUCCACUAACACAAGUGUUAGCGAUGUCAAUGCCUCAACUACACACCUUCUCCAUCCAACAAUCUACUCCAAGUGUUAACGAAUCAACUUAUGAGCUAUAGCAAAUGAAUGCUACAACCCUUUCCAACACCUUAUGGGCAAACCCUCAAGGAAACAAGGAACCAACUUAAGCUUAGCAUAAUGGACCAUCAUCGAGAAUCCAGUCAAAGCUACUACAAUGCUACUUUGUGCAAGUAGACUAGCUUCACCAUCAACCACUUUGGGGUUGAUCAUCAUUUAACCAGCAACUUCGUAAACACAUUGCUCAUUAUCACAUGGAUAUGAUAUAGAAAUCACAAUGACUUGAUCAUCAAUUGAGCAACACCACGAACAAUGCCAAUGUCAUUACUUCAAAGGUUUACAUGAAUAUCAAGUGCCAACUCAACUUGACAGAAUGCAACAUAAAUGCCACACUCUACCGAUAGAGAUUUACAACACCCAAUACCACUAACUUUUGUUCACAACACAGACAAGCUCAUGCCCCUCACUAUCCGAUCAAAAACUCAAGACUUAACCCAACACCAAGCUACUCAAGGAGCAAUAGCUAGGUUCCCCGGAAAAGAAUUGAGCAUUGUAACCCAAGUCUUCCAAUAGCGAGCUUAGACAAAAUGGUUUAACGCUUCACCGCUAUCCAUCCCAUAACUCACCAUUUGUAAGACCAUCAUAAUCAACAUGCAUCAAGAUAGGGACUCUUGAUUGCAUAAUGUGAAUACGAGCAAUGAGUCAACACCUCGUUGCAAAUCAUCUCUCCAAGAAGAAAAGAUGAUUUACGUGUUUGAUCCUCCGUCCCCGAUGACUCUCUUUUCGGUCUCAUCUUUGACCAAACCUCAAGCUUGCUUUCACACUGCCUUCAGUCCAAUCCAAGAAAAGUUUAUGAGAGAGCACAACAAUGAUUACUUGAACCAAUAGACUAACCCCUACAGUCUUAGUUGAUCCACUUGUAAUCAUGCCUAGGAAAGAUCUACUAGUGUCGUGCUAAACAGCUACGGACCAGCCUAUUUGCCACUCAUAGCAAACCCAGGGAAAGUUUGCUUUCACCCAUGGUACAUAGAACAACUUAUGGAACUACCGAUAGGCUAACAUUAAUCCUGCCAACUCAAAGUUUAAUCUCGAGUUGCUAAUGUGCCUCACUCGCGAGCCCAAGCAUAAACUCGUGCUAACGGAGCAUCUCAAAUCCAUCCUAUGAGCCCAAGAGCAAGCUCACAUUGUUAGGUACAAAAGGUAACCAAAACCAUACCCAAGGAACGAACGUGAACCCCUUGCACCAAACGUGUACUCAAUCGGACCAUCGUUUUCAUCUCUGCGUAUGCAACGAGACUAGUUGCCCAAUCUCAUUGUAUAGUACUCGCUGAGACUUACUCUCUGAUACCAAAUGUAGCGCACGUGGUUUUGACCCUUUAUCCUAUGGUGAUUUACCAUAGGAUAACACCACGAAGCGGAACCUAAACCCUCUUUGUGCCACGUGACAGAUGCCACGUGUCACAUGCCACGUGUCCAUGCCAUGUGUCCAUAGGAACCCGAAGUUCAAGGCCUUGGGCCAUUGAACGAAGGAACGGUGCCAAACUCCCAAGCAUGGAGCCAAGGAGUGACGGAACCGAACCACGGAGCAACUCCCGAGCAUAAAGCCCAAGGAGUGAAGGGACAGGAGCCCGGAGUGACUUGGAACAGUCCUGGAGCAACCAGCAUCCCAAUGCCAGGACCAGCACACAAAACGGAGCCAAACGGAGUCUGGCGCUAUUUCGGCAUACCGGUGGCCUAACGCGAGGAUAUGGGUACUCCACCAACUAGCAUGGAAUGGAACUUGGGCUUAGACCCAAGCCGGACGCAAAACAAGGACAGGCACGCAAGCGGGAGCUAGACUAUGCCUCAGGUUGGUCGGCCAUGCCCGACCUACCCACUAUCCCUACUAUACAUUUGGAACCCCCCACAGCCCCCCCCCCCUUGAGGAACACACGCUUUGGGCUUUCACCCCAAGCCUCCCUUAGUAUCAGGAGUUAGUCUCUGGGACAAGCUCGAAACUUACUAAAUAUGGAAUGUCCUUAGAUUGCGAAUUUGGACACGGGACGAACACCAUUGUGUUCAGGCCGAUCUCUACAUUCCGUAGAUAUGCCAAAUGAGCAAAUCUGGACACUUUCCAUAAAUAGCAUUUGGGACCAAAAUGAGACUAACACAAAGGGCAUGAUAGCGAGGGUGUUUGGCAGACACGGUAAGCUAUCAUCCAGCGAUAUUGAGGGACCAAUCUCAAUACGCGAGGGUUCUUGUCAAGCCAGUGCAAGACAGAGCAAAAGAGAACUAACAAGCCGGGCCAAGUAUGCUCAGCUAAAUAGACACUUAGGAAUUCCUUCCUUAUGCUCAUCCGGCCAAGUACAGAUGCAAAGUCUAGUUUACUAACACUUGAACAAGAGGGGCCAAUAAAGGGAACCAGCAGUACCGACCUCCUGCCAUCGUGGCAGUAAGGUAAGAGUGUCCGUAAGGACUAGUCGACAGGUAACUUUCGAUACCCGAAGUCACAUGCGCGACAGGCAGCUUGCGAGGCGAUGAAGACAGUAGUAGCAGGAUUUUGCUCCUGGAAGAAUUGUUUGUGGCCUGUGACAGGCAUUACGAAUGACAGCAGGGAUCCCUGUGCCGACACCUUUCGCACAGCAACACUGCCAAUGCUUAGGCACUUUGGUGUUCCAGUCGAAGGCCUAGAACUCAAGGUUGUUGCCCGCGGAGCUCCUCCCUUGGGUGGCGGUGAGGCUGUCCUCAAAGUUCCCAUUGUCCCCAAGAGCCUCACGGUCAGUUUCUCCAAACUCCUCUUCUUUUCUUUCUCUCCUCGCUAAGAAUCCUUCGCCAGGCUGCUACAUGGGUGGACAAGGGCAUGGUGAAACGUAUCCGAGGAGUGAGUUACUUCACACCCGUCUCACCUCAUAUGGCCAAUCGAAUGUGGUGUGCUAAAGCGCUUGCUCCCCGACAUGUACAUCUUUACUGAUCACUACACUGGUUCGGAUUCCGGGAAGUAAGUUCCAUGAUUUUGUGCUGCAAGGUAAACGUUUUUCAUCUUGCUUCCUUUGUCAUGGCACAGAUCUCCGGGCUAUGGAAUCUCACUGGUGGCAGAAAUGACCACCGGCUGCAUUUUAAGCUCCGAGUGCGUGGCUACGCAUUCUGGAGCAUCCGAGCUCCAGCUUCCAGAGGACCUGGGGAUGCAAGCAGCCAUGUCCUUGCUACAGGAGAUAAAAGUUGGGAGGAGUUGUAGAUUCAACUCACCAGGUAUCUAUCUGUGAAGCUGGAAAGGAAAGAAGUCGAUCUCACAAACUUUCCUGUUUGCCAUACAGGGGUUGCUGUUCCCGACCAUCAAAGAAUUUCUGGGAGUGCAGUUUGGUAUCAAGCCUGACCCAAAUCAGUUACAUGGAACUUUUUCUAGAAGCCAUCGGUCUUUUCCAGCAGCAGCGCAUCCACUCUCCUUGAUGUGCACAGCGAUUCAAGCUGCGGCCUCAAACUCCAGCCAGCCAUCCACGACGAUCAUCUGCCUCUCAUCGUCAUCAUCUGCUGAUGCUCCCACUGAAGAUAAGAAGCUGGAAUACACUUUGGACGCAUUCACUAUGUCCGUCACUACCAGCUGGGGGCUCUUGAAGUCCGGAUGGCGGUGAGCUCCCGGAGGAACUUGAGCAUGCAGCUGAAGAUCGAGAACAUUUUCCCAUUAGAUGUCUCCCGCAUCAAACGUUGAUGUCUUUUAGUGACUCAAGAACAGCAUGAGGCAUGGGCAUUUUAGACACAAUUGGUGGAAAAAGCAUCUUAACCUGCAAAGAAUUCCAAUGAAACCAGUUCCAGUUAAUAAGGAGACACUUUGUAUCUCCCGAACUAUUUUUUGCUGUAUAUCCUGAUGAAAAUGGGAGUAAGAGGUGUGAGAAAAAUUCCAAGUUGAACUAACUCACAGUGAAACCCUGCCUUCCCCCCCACCGCAAUAUAGACUGUAGUUCAAAGUUCGUUACUUGAGAACAAAGAGUGAAAAAUAAGUCAUGAUGAGAACUCCCCAAAUCUCAUGAACUGCACAAAUCUAACUUAAUUUUUCACAGGCAUUUUGCACAGGCAUCUGCCUAUCCUCACUCAAAAGUAGUCACUUUACUUUUAGACCACAUUAGAUCAGAAGUGCAAAAGAUCAAAAUGUUGAAACCAUAUUAGAAGUAAAAAGUAAGGUUUAUUACUAGAUGAUUAAGGUUUCUCUCAAACAGACAUCAUUUUUUGGCUAAAUCACAACUGUGGGGGUAUUUAACAAUAAAAGUAUAUAUUAUAUUUUUAUAUGUAGCUUUAGUUAUUUAUAAUUAUCAGAAAAACUACGAUAAUGUAUGUAGUAUUUGAUUAAACAUUAAUAUUUUAAAAUAUUUUUACUAAUUUAUUAGUAUAUAAUACUAUGGAAUAUAAGAUUUGAAUUUAUUAUAUAUAUAUAUAUAUAUAUAUACAAAUAAUUAUUUUUUGAUUGGAUCUGGGUAGCAAUAUAUUAAUGUUUCUAAAAACUUAUUGUUUUAUAUUUUGAGUAAAACUUAUAAUUAAUUAAUGUCCUGCAGUAAUUAUUCUCUUUUAUUUGUUUUUACUUUUUUAUUUGUCAAUUUGUUUCUAAAUAUAUUCAUAUUUCCAAAUAAUAAUUUGUAUAUAAUAUUUUUAUGAAUGAAUAUUUUAUCUUACUUAUGCCUAAGAAUAUAUUUUGUUCUAAAUAGUUAUAUUAUCAAGUUUAAAAAAUUUAGCUUUUUAUUCAUCUAACAUUUUCUAGGCAUAAUUCUCUCAAUCAAAGUGGAAUAUAAUAUUUGUUGUUUUAAUACUAUUCUAAUUUAGUUUUUAAUAUAUUAAAAAAUCAAAACAGUAUUUUGCUAAUUACACAGCAUAUGCUGGGCAAGUGCUAGUUCUGCAAUAAAGAAAUUCAUUGCUAAGAGGAUAAAGAUAACACCUAGUGAUUAAAGCACUAUGCCUCUGAUACCAUGUGAAGAGAAGCUAGCCUCUCCACCUAAAACUCUAAAAAAAGAGAGCAGCUCUCACAAAAUAGGAAAAACAGCUAAGAAGCUUAAAUUGAAGGAAUGUGACUCAAGCCACUUGACUUGACUCUAACAGUGGUAAGACAGGAUGGCAUUAAUGGCUGCCACAUUCUCUACUUUGGUGGCAGGAAGACCCUUUACUCCAGAGAUACAUACCACUUAAACAAACAAAAUUGUGGCUAAUGUCUCUUGUGUUUAUAAUUGAGUUAGUGGUCUAAACCACCGGGCCGUCGGAUGAAGAUCGUGCGGUCCCUGACGAUUCUAGGGCGCCACUGAGCUCUCCGGAUCAUCGAUCCCAGCGCGCGGCGGCGAGGAUUUCAACUAACGAAAUGGACGAGGAAUUGGCUAACGUGCAGGCUCAAAUCGGACGUCUUGAGCCGCAGAUCGAAGCGGCUGGGGAAUCUUUUCUCUUUGCCUUUGAGAGUGGCAAUCAAUUUCUGGCGGAAUAUUGGCAGAAGAAGGAAGAGCAGCUGCGGAAGAAAAAAUUACAGCUGUGGAAGGAGGAACUCCUCCUCCUCAAAUCUAAUUGUAAGUCAUUCUUUGUGUAUUUCGAUUUGGGGCGUUUUGCUGUGUGUUGUGGAUUAUGUGUGGUUCCAUUGGCUGCUUUCGGCCAUGGUUAAAGAGGUAGCUUCAGUUCGCUUUUAUUUUGGGUUGCUGGGAGUGUGGCUAUGGUGGCUUUUGGCUAUGCUGCCGGUGGACGCAUGCUCCCUUGUGCAUCCUUGGUCGUCCUUGUAUGGCUAUGGCUGUUGAGACCCUGGUUUUUUCUUCUAGAUCUAAUACUAACUUUGUUUUGUUCUGAAUGUUGCAGUGCGCGGAUCUGGUAAGCAAUUGCGAAAGCCCUUUGUUUCCUUGCACAUGCAUCCCCAUUUUCUGUCCAGUUCUUGGUAUUCCAUUUGUCCAGUUCUGGAUGCUACUUUAAUGCUGUCUGUCUAGUAAUAGUUGGGUGUCUUCUCUUUGGGAUGACUGGUAUGCUUUUCGGCCUGACACUAGAGUUUGCUCAGUUCUGCUCACAAGUCUGUGCGUUCCUCCAAAGCCCCCUUGUUUGCUUUUCAUGUCUGUCUUGUGUUUUACUUGGUCAUUCCCCGAUGCCUUUUCUUUCAAAUUUCGUCGCUGCUGCCCUCUCUGUCGAGACCCCUUAACCUCUCAGAUCUGUGUUGCGAAAUCCCUGACCAUAACCACACAUGGAAGAGAUGACUAAGGAUCCCUUUCUCCUCUCCCGCAGCAGCCUCUCUGUCACCCGGAGCAGCAGCAACUCUUUAUCCCGGAGCGGCUCCACUGUCCUGCUUUGCUUUCCCUGUCUGGUCACGGUUAAGGAUUUUUGCUUCCUGAAUCUGUUUCUUUCUUUCUGUGUGGAUAUCUGGUAAUCUCCGCAUCCUUGUGGUCAUUCUCACCCCUGUUUGCCCUUUGGCUGUGUUUAAUUCUGUGUCCAUAAACUUUAUUGUGCCUCUCACAGCGCCAGCGCCACCACCAGCGGGACUUCGUCCAGCCGAGAUUGACGUGCCUGGUAUGAAUGAUGUCUAGGGGACUGAAAGCCGUAAUUUUUUGUGUCAGACAAGAUCGCCUGGGCCAAGAAGCUGAACGAGAAUCUGACCGGACACUGACUGGACAAGCCAUGCGACUUUUCGGGAGCUCCAUACUCCCGCUUUCUCUGGAAUGGAGUAAAACAUACAUGUACAUGGGUCGCUCACUCUUACGGAGAUAAAAAGUUUCGUAUUGACCUUGAGACACGGCACUGACAACCUUCCUGGAACUCUGGGCUCUGGGAAGACCACUGCUCUUGCUACUGUGGCUGGAUAUCUUCGGCAACUUUGGAAGAACACCUCCAAGAAGGUCGUCUUUAUCAAUGACGAAUGUUUCAUUGACAAUCCCUCGAGGACAAUGUGGGUGGCUCUUUUGCUGAGCUACAUAGACGACUUUCCAGCCGAGCUUUCAUGCCGGGGGGUGGACCCUGAAAGUAUUAGAAUUUUGGAUCCUGAUGCCGGGGGGUGGACCUUGAAAGUAUUAGAAUUUUGGAUCCUGAUGCUGCAGAUAAAUGAAGUGAGUGUUGUGGAAGAUUUCAAUCCUUGUCCCCCUCAGGAUUUUCCAGAACUUGCUUAGCCAGAACAUCUUUCAGGUACACUGGUUUUUUGCUCUUCUUCAAAGCUUUCUCUUCCUUUGUUAUCGGAAAACUUCACCUUUGGCUUGUACAUAUGCUGGGAUCCUUCUUCUUGAUCUUGGCUAGCAUCUCUAAAAUUAGUAUCUUUGCAGCACUCCAUCCAGUCUUCCUCAUUUGAUGGCAAAUUCAUGUCCACAAGCCUACACUUUUGAAGCAAUGCCAAUUUUGGCGGAUAAUAAUUCAAAGUUGAAGAGAUCAGAAUACUCUUUCUUAAGCUAGUCAAUUGCUAUAAUAUAAAGACUGUUGGAGGGGUUUGAGAAAUAAAGGAGCAAAAUAAAAAUAUUGAAUAGAAACAUUUAUUGGAAGACCAAAGUGAUGGGAAGUAAAUGUAAAAAGAAAUAAAAUAAAAAUAAAGGGAAGGAAAAAAAAUUAAAAAGUUAUGAAAAAAAAGGAAAAGUCUCAAAUAUGCAAUCCUAAAAACCAUUUGCAAUAAUAAAAGCUCAAACUCAAGAUUGCUUACAUUCACCACAUAUAUGCAUUUGUAUAAUUAUUGCUAUAGAAAAUGAAAAUUGAUUUUGUUGUUAGUAUAGAUGAUUUUGCCACACAAUGCAACUGUAAAUGGCAAUGUGUGGCAACAAGCCAAGCAAUAAAAUAUAAACCCACUAACCUUUAUCAACUUUUAUCAUUUUGUCAUUCCAAACACCACAAGCCAAAAUCCCCACCUCAUAAACCAGAAUUCUGCAACAAAGAAAUUCAUUGCUCCAUCUCUCCAAAAGGAUAUAGAUGACACCUAGUGUCUAAAGCACUAUGCCUAUGAUACCAUGUGAAGAGAAGCUAGCCUCUCCACCUAAUACUCUAAAAAAAGAGAGCAGCUCUCACAAAAUAGGAAAAAAAACUAAGAAGCUUAAAUUGAAGGAAUGUGACUCAAGCCAUUUGGCUUGACUCUAAGACAGGAUGGCAUUAGUGGCUGCCACAUUCUCUACUUUGGUGGCAGGAAGACCCUUUACUCACAACCUCCAGAGGGAUGAGCACACCUAUACAUACCGCUUAAACAAACAAAAUUGUGGCUAAGUUUUCACUUUUUGUCUCUUGUGUUUAUAAUUGAGUUAGUGGUCUAAACCACCGGGCCGUCGGAUGAAGAUCGUGCGGUCCCUGACGAUCAUCGAAUCCCUAACCCUAGCUAAUAUAUAGGGCGCUCUUGAUCGCUCUCCGGAUCAUCGAUCCCAGCGCGCGGCGGCGAGGAUUUCAACUAACGAAAUGGACGAGGAAUUGGCUAAGGUGCAGGCUCAAAUCGCGCGUCUUGAGCCGCAGAUCCAAGCGGCUGGGGAAUCUUUUCUCUUUGCCUUUGAGAGUGGCAAUCAAUUUCUGGCGAAAUAUUGGCAGAAAAAGGAAGAGCAGCUGCGGAAGAAAAAAUUACAGCUGUGGAAGAAGGAACUCCUCCUCCUCAAAUCUAAUUGUAAGUCAUUCUUUGUGGGCGUUUUGCUGUGUGUUGUGGAUUAUGUGUGGUUCCAUUGGCUACUUUCGGCCAUGGUUAAGGAUUUUGCCAGAGGUAGCUUCAAUUCGCUUUUAUUUUGGGUUGGUGGAAGUGUGGCUAUGGUGGCUUUUGGCUGUGCUGCCGGUGGACGCAUGCUCCCUUGUGCAUCCUUGGUCGUCCUUGUAUGGCUAUGGCUGUUGAGACCCUGGUUUUUUCUUCUAGAUCUAAUACUAACUUUGUUUUGUUCUGAAUGUUGCAGUGCUUAGAAAUAUGAACUAGUGAAGUCCAUGUAAACAAGCACCCUAGAUUGCAUGAUGUGUGUAAGGCUAUAUGGAGUAUCGGCCCGUGAGAAGAAGUAUGGUAUGUGCCAGUCUCGAGGCUCGGCUCCUUGCAAGUGCCUCUCGAGAGCCACUGGGCGGUAUGAAGUAGACCCGAGCACCGCUUGUCCAUCGCCACCACCUUUCAUCACUGCUGAGACGUGUUCCGCUAGAUCAGAGGCAGGAUUUCCUGGGAGUCUCGUAUUUCCCGAACAAGCUGCUCCAGCCGGAUAUGGUGUCGCCCCUGGACAAGUGCCUGAAUAUGUGCAAGGCAAACUGCUCCUGUGCCGCGGUCUUCUAUAGCAAGAACUCGAGCGGCUGCUACUUCGUCAAGGACAUCCUGGGAAGCUUGGACUUUGAUGCCACUGCUGCGGUGCAGUACUCCGCUCAUCUCAAGCUCGAGAGUGGCAGCAUUGUCCUGAAGCCUGGAUGCUACUUUAUCUAGUUGGGUGUCUUCUCUUUGGGAUGACUGGUAGCCUGACACUAGAGUUUGCUCAGUUCUGCUCACAAGUCUGUGCGUUCCUCCAAAGCCCCCUUGUUUGCUUUUCAUGUCUGUCUUGUGUUUUACUUGGUCAUUCCCCGAUGCCUUCGCCUCUCAGAUCUGUGUUGCGAAAUCCCUGACCAUAACCACACAUGGAAGAGAUGACUAACCGAGAAGGAGCUCUUUCUCCUCUCCCGCAGCAGCCUCUCUUUCACCCGGAGCAGCAGCAACUCUUUAUCCUGGAGCGGAAUCUGUUUCUUUCUUUCUGUGUGGAUAUCUGGUAAUCUCCGCAUCCUUGUGGUCAUUCUCACCCCUGUUUGCCAUUUGGCUGUGUUUAAUUCUGUGGCCAUUCCUCCAUAAACUAUAUUGUGCCUCUCACAGCACCAGCGCCAGCAGCGGGACUUCCUCCAGCCGAUUUUUAUGUGCCUGGUAAGAAUGAUGUCUAGGGGACUGAAUGCCAUGACUGGACAAGCCAUGCGACUUUUCGGGAGCUCCAUAUUCCCGCUUUCUGUGGCUAUCAAACAUACAUGUACAUGGGUCGCUCACCCUUCAAGGAGAUAGAAAGUUUCGUAUCGGCCUUGAGACACGGCGCUUCGGAUAAUGACAACAAACCUCCAGGUAUUAUUAUUGGAACUCCGGGGUCUGGGAAGACCACUGUUCUUGCUACUGUGGCUGGAUAUCUUCGGCACCUUUGGAAGAACACCUCCAAGAAGGUCGUCUUUAUCAAUGGCGAAGAUUUCAUUGACAAUCCCUUGUGGACAAUGUGGCUGGCUCUUUUACUGAGCUACAUAGACGACCUUCCAGCUGAGCUUUCGUGCCGGGGGCGGACCUUGGAAGCAUUAGAAUCUUGGAUCCUGUCGAGAUCGUCAGAGCAGCUUUACUUUCUGGUGGACGAGGCCAACGCGUUUGACACCACGCUGAAGAGAGAACCGGGGGCUGCCAGCGCGAAAAAAAGAGACGACGCUUACCAUUUUAUGAAGAAUAUGCAACUGCAGCACGUCGUUGUCUACUGCUCAAGUACGUGGACGAGCAGAUUAGUGAGCGACAAAAGCCAGGUGGUUACAACGUAAGUGGCGACUACUUUCCAACACUGGUGUGGGGCUAACUUGUGUGCUUUUCCUUUUAUCCAACAGGCUGAGGAACUGCAGGCAUAUUGCGAACACGAGGUUCGUCGUGCCGGGGGGCUCCAAGUGGAGGUGAGCAUCGUAUUUACCGUGUCUUCUUUUAAAGCCUACUAAUGGUUUGGAGUAGGAGGAUCCGAUUGUGGCGUAUUGCAGGCUUGCCACAAGGCAAGGCCACCGAGAGUUGAUCCGACAAAUUCAGCUCCUCCUCAGAUCCAUCAACCUGCUUCAUCGCGUCGGUAAGCCACACAUUCACACAUUUCAUUUACCUUAAUGCGUUUGCUCGGAAUUCAAAAGUGAGACCGGCUGGGUUCCCAGGCUUGUUCGCUCAUUACGGGACCUGGAAGCUAGGGACCACGUACCAGAUGUACGAAGCUGGCCUGGGAGAGUAUAUCCAAGAGGCGGUCAAGGACCCAGAUCGCUGGAAUUCCUUCAUCGCUGUGGUCAGCAGAGUGGAAACGAUUAGAGCGGUGUUACCAGACGCGCUAGACACUCGAUGUUUUUACGUGGAUCCAGAGACACAAACAGGAAAAUGUCCAUCAGAUUCUCUGUGCGCGCGCACUAUGGCGACUCUGCAGUACGCGUCUGACGUUGAGGCUAGGAUGGGUAUCGGCCAAUGGACAAGGCUGAUCUCGCAGGAUGACAACAGUGCUCGGGUUGGGUGGAACGCAAUAAUGGCAACUCUCAUUUUCAUCAAACACUAUGGUAUCGUUAUUACCGCGGAAGGUCUGCAGCUUAACUUUAAACCUGAAGUGGUUGUCAGAUUCGAACCCCAACUUCUGUUUGGAUCCUAUGAUCCCCCCCCCAUCCUUCGUGGGGUACAACACACCUCAGUCCAAAUGCUUCCAUCAGUCCUUUUAGGACCAUUUUUUGACUCUACUUAAGUCAUCCAGCAGUUUUAGACUUGAUUAAUUCACAGACCUAUAAGGUCCCACUUGUGAAGCACUAGCUCACUGGAAUACACUUCCUGCAUUCCUGUCCUACUUAGAAGGACUAUUUUCACAAGUGUUAUUCUGACACUUGUUUUUGUUCUCUAGGGCAACUUCUGCCCCUUAGAACUACUUGUCCAUGUGAUGAGAAUACCAACUCAUCUUUAAGUACACCCCCCAACUCUUUGGGUUGUUCUAACAUUUAUUAAAGGUAGCCCCGGCUACCAUUUCAAGGGCUGGUGUCCUCUUCUGUAUUUGACAUCCCACAGUCAACAAUUUUAGUCUCGAAUUUAUGAGUACCAGCCUCAACCAUAUAAGGGUAAUCUUGUGACUCCUUUAUUGUUUUGGAGUCUGCAUCUUCCCCGUGAUCCCAAUUGUAGUUGUUUACCACAACUACAUUAGCAAGUUUGUUAAGUCAAACGCUCAUCUGGAUCACAUCCUCAACUCUCUGAAGAAACCCUUAUACUAUUCCCAAGAUCCCAAAGUCAUUCCAUUAUUGGCCCCUUUUCUAUCCAGCACAUUGCACCCAAGUUCACGCAUGAACUUGAGUGGAGAGCCAUGUCCUCUCGACAUGCUACUCCUCAAGGAUAGGCCCACUCCUAGGACUUUCUGAUGCCAAUAUCAAUGGUGUUAUACUUGAGCACCAAUAAAAGUCGGACUAAAGAACAACUCCGAUACUAAGUUGUAAGUGACUAAAUUUUCCAUUUUACUUUAGUCACUUAACCGCACCUCCGACCACUUGGAGGAGUCUCACUCACAACCUCCGUAAGUCCUAUUUUGGACCUGGGCUUACUAGCCCCGAGAAUGGCAUCCCCGCCACUCAACUUCGUGCACUUGGUCCAAGUGCUCCACGUGUCCGAUCCCAUGACUGACACCCCAAGGUACCACCAACAUAUCAGCCUGUUACGCUAAGGCCAUGCCCAUUCACCUUGGUCACAACGAUGGUCUGACACCAUCUGCAUCCCAAUCCCAUCACUUAAAGACUGGGCCAUCCAUCCAUGAGUGAUCAUCCCAAAUCCACUCCUUAGCAUCCUUAGGAUGCCCACCGACAUGGGGAUUAGCCUUCCCCAAUAUCUCCGUUCCAAUCCCCACUAAGUCCCUUUUCGUCCAUGGCCGUGUUUGCCAACACUGCCACUGGAUCGAGGCCCACAGGCCCGACCACUAAGUCCCACGGUCCACUGGGACUUCCUCACCACACGACUGUGUCCUUGGUCACUACCCCAGAGGACUGCUCCUCUUCCUUUCCACAGUCUGAGCCUUUGGGACAACAUUUCGGAACACCGUGGCCUUACGCGAGCCACCUGGGUACUCUCCCCGCCUUCCGCCCUUGGGUGCUCUAGCCAUGGGCUUAGAGCGAGGUUCCGUUGAGCCACGCCUGGUAUCCAAGUAGGUAGUGCCACCCACACUUGGACUGGGAGCAUCGGCCAGUCGAUCUCCCGGGGGAACUAGAGCCGGCUCUUGAACACUUCACCAAGCUACCCCGCUUGUCGGUCUGUGUUCACUCUAGUCUUGGACUUCCCAGUGGUCAGCUCAUCACCCAACACUGGGUCUGGCCUUCCUGGGCCAAACUGGCCUUUCCUAGCCAAACUGGCUCCACUGGGCUCCAACCCCCACACUCUCCCUACUAUACUUUUGGAAACCCCCGCCCUGGGGGACGAUCGCUUUGGGCUUUCACCCAACUGCCUGUAUUAGUAUUCGGACUCGGACUCGGACUCGGUCUCGGUCUCGGUCCCGAAUUCGGACUCGGACUCAAUCUCGGUCUCGGUCUCGGUCUCGGUCUCGGUCCCGGUCUCGGUUCCAUCUCGGACUCCAUCUUGGGUCCAUCUCAGACUCCAUCUCGGGUCCAUCUCGGACUCCAUCUCGGGUCCAUCUCGGACUCCAUCUCGGGUCCAUCUCGGACUCCAUCUCGGGUCUAUCUCGGGUCCAUCUCGGACUCCAUCUCAGGUCCAUCUCGGACUCCAUCUCGGGUCCAUCUCGGGUCCAUCUCGGACUCCAUCUCGGGUCCAUCUCGGACUCCAUAUCGGACUCCACUUCGGGUCCAUCUCGGACUCCAUCUCGGACUCCAUAUCGGACUCCACUUCGGGUCCAUCUCGGACUCCAUAUUGGACUCCAUCUCAGACUCCACUUCGGCCUCUACUUCGGGUCCAUCUCGGACUCCACUUCGGGUCCAUCUCGGACUCCACUUCGGGUCCAUCUUGGACUCCAACUCGGGUCCGCCUCGGACUCCAUGUCGGACACUUCCACGUGUCAUGUGUUGGUCCUUUUUGGGUCCCUUUUUGGAGCCUUGCUUAUUGGUUGCCUCGUGCUUGCUCCUCGAGCACUUUGUUGGGAGUUCCACUCCCGCUCUCAACCUUCCAAGUCGGAGCUUUUAGUCCAAACGUGUUAUGCUCGUUUGGCUUUCGCUUCGGCCACUACCACGUGGCACCCUUUCCAGCUCCACUUUGGGGGCCUAGGGAUUUUGUGUCUCACACAAAUUUGGACACUUUCCAUAAAUAGCAUUUGGGACCGAAAUGAGACUAACACAAAAGGCAUGAUAGCGAGGGUUUUUGGUAGGCACGGUAAGCUAUUAUCCAGCGAUAUUGAGGGACUAAUCUCAAUACGCGAGGGUUCUUGUCAAGCCAGUGCAAGACAGAGCAAAAGAGAACUAAAAAGCCAGGCCAAGUAUGUUUGGCUAAAUAGACACUUAGGAAUUCCGUCCUUAUGCUCAUCCGGCCAAGUACAGAUGCAAAGUCCAGUUUACUAACACUUGAACAAGAGGGGCUGGCAAAGGGUCUAGCAAUACUGACCUCCUGCCAUCAUGGCAGUAAGGAAAGAGUGUCCGUAAGGACUGGUCGACAGGUAACUUUCGAUACCCGAAGUCACAUUCGCGACAAUUCCUGAUAGCACCCCCUCGGAUUGAAGAUCAUUUCUGAUCGCAUUCAUCAAGGAGGAGUCCUGAGGGGCCAGAGAAAUUGCCAUAACUUGAAGCCGAUCAGGACCGAGGAUAACUUGAUCAUGUUGAUUGAAGGCAGGAUUACCAGGCCUGAGACUGAGAUAGGACCGCCUUGAAAGAGCAUCAGGAAGGCCUUGAAACUUUCUAGGUCUGUACUUGAUAACAAAGUCAAACCGACUCAAGAAUUGUGCCCACCUUGCUUGACGACGGCUCAAAACUCAGGAAGUGGCAAAGCACUCAAGAUUUUUGUGAUCCGUCCAGACCAUUGUUUGAUGGCCCGCCCCCUCCAAGAAACGACACCACUCUCCAAAGGAAUCCACGAUGGCAAGAAGCUCCUUGUCAUGGAUUUCGUAAUUGAUCUCCGCAGGUUGGAAUUUCUGAUAAUGGAAGGCGACUGGAUGAAAUUCUUGAUCCGCUCCGAGUUGAAACAACACAGCACUGAUGGCAAAGUCAGACACAUCAGCCUCGAUGAAGAAAGGUUGUGAGGGAUCAGUGUGGAUCAAGACAAGAGCAAAACUGAAGGCCGCCUUGAGUGUGUCGAAGGCCUGCUGGGCAGCAGCAGACCAAGAGAAGGGAACAUCCUUGUGAGUGAGAUGCGUGAGAGGAAGGACAAUGUCAGAGUAGUGAUCAAUGAAUUUGCAAUAGGAAUUGGCGAAGCCAAGGAAAACCUGAACAUCCGACAUUGAUUGUGGAGGCUCCCAUUCGAGAAUAAUCUUGACUUUGGCAGGAUCCAUCGUGAUACCCUCAAGAGUGACAAUGUACCCAAGGAACUCCACAGACUCCUGAUCGAAGGAACAUUUCUCAAGCUUCGCAUAUAAGCCAUGUUCCCGCAGCUUUGCCAACACCUUGCGCACAUGCUCGUCGUGCUCCUCCUGAGUUUUUGAGUAGAUGAGGAUGUCAUCAAGGUAGACGAUCACCAUCUGAUCAAGAAACUCCCGAAAGACGUUGUUUGCCAUGUGUUGGAAAAUUGUUGGAGCAUUUGUCAAGCCAAAUGGCAUAACGGUGUAUUCGAAGUGGCCAUAUGUAAGCCACAAAUUUUUCCUUUCCAAUUUGCCAGCUUACCUCGCCUAUCCGUCCAACACCGCCUUGGCUUUUGCUAAGUUCCCUUGCCAAGGUUCUCGCCUAUGGUACCAGCUCCUACUUGGUCUCAGCUACUCACUGCACGAGCAACGGAGUGUUAGCCACCAUCCACGGAUUCCCAAAUCACUCCCAAUCCCCCUCCCCGGGUUAGACUGGACUUAAGGUUCGGCUACACUCCCCGCAAGCACAAGCAGCCAAGCACACCAAGCUUCCAGGUUCCUAACAUCCUUUGGUACCACAAGACUUGAUCAUGGGACCCUCUAAAUCCCAAGUCUUGAGUGCAACACUUGCUUCGGGACGCCGGGGCGAAACACCGUGGCCUAGCGGCCCGGUAUGGGUACCUCUCGCCCCCCACUUCCAUCCCGAAGGAAGGCCCAAGCCCCUAGGAAGGGCGAGGACCAAUGAGCCGCAUGGUACUCAAGUGGGGCACCACUCCACUUGAGCCGGGAGCACCGCAAUCGGUUUCCCUUUCGGGAGUGGGAGCUGCUCUUGAGCACUUCCUUGGAUGGCCCCUCCGGCACCAACCAAGUCCAUGCUCACUCCCACCCAAGGCCCCUCGGUCCCAGUCCCAACCUCAAGUCAGUUUGGGAGCCCCACUGGAGAGUCCCUUCUAAACUGGUUCCUGGACCUCACUAUCCCUACCAUACUUUUGGAACCCCCUACAGCCCCCCCCCCCCCCUGGGAGACGCACGCUUUGGGCUUUCACCCCUUGACCCGUAUUAGUAUUUGGACUUAGUCUCUGGCUCGAUCUCGGACCCGAUUUCGGAUCCGACUUCGGAUUCGGGUUCGGACUCGAUCUCGGACUCGAUCUCGGACCCGAUCUCGUACCCGACCUCGGACUCGACCUCGAACUCGGUCUCGGACCCGAUUUCGGAUCUCGGACUCCGUCUCGAACUCAGUCUCGAACUCGGACUCGAACUCGGUCCCCGAGUCGGUCUCGGACUCGAUUCCGGACUCGAUCUCGAACUCGGUCCUAGAGUCGGUCUUGGACUCGAUCUUUGACUUGGUCCCAUCCGAUGAACUCUUUGUCAUUUUGGUCAUGCUUUCGGGGUUCCUUUAGCCUACGACACCUCGGCGAGUUGGUUCCUUACACCAUAGCGGGUUCGGAACGCAGUCUUCCAUUCAUUACUAGGCCGGAUCUGGAUCAGGUUGUAUGCUCCACAGAGGUCGAUCUUGGUGAAGAAGCAGGCACCGCUGAGGCGUUCCAAUAUGUCUGAGAUCAGGGGCAGUGGAUAACGGUUCCGAACAAUCACCUUGUUCAAACCUCGGUAGUCGAUGACUAGCCGCAAACUCCCAUCCUUCUUCUUGACAAAGAAGACAGGCACUUCAGUCGGGGACUGCGAAUGCUGAAUGUACCCCGAGGCAAGGUUCUCAUCCACGUAUUCUUUGAGGGCCUUAAGCUCGGACGGGGAUAACCCAUAGAUAGGCCCCCACGGAGGUGAUGCUCCUUCCUGUAAAUCAAUGGGACAGUCAUAAGGCUGAUGAACAGGCAGUACACUAGCUUUUUUCUUGUCAAACACAUCCCCAAAAUCAUGAUACUUCUCAGGAACACUGACAGGAGAAACAUGCAAAGCAAAAAAGGAAAAUAGAUUCUUCAUGAAGAAGUUCUUUCAUAGUGAUUGUGGAGAUAGGAGGAGGUGUACAACUAAAUGGAAUGAUGAGACGAGGAUACUGUCCAGUGUAAUAUGGAAGAGAGGAAAAAGAAGAGGGUGAAAACUUCGUAGAGUCAGGAAUAGAACCCCAAUUUAAGUUUAAGGAACUUUUCCUGAUUCGGACUCGAUGAACAGCAGGGGAAGCCAUGGGAGAUGAUGAUGUGGGAGAGACGAGCUGUAAUUCCUUCCAAUAGAUCUGAGGCUGAUGUAGUUGGAACCAAGGGAGGCCAAGCACCACAGAGAAGGACUUGUUGUUGAUGAUGUUGAAGGCGAUAUCGGUGACGGUGGACCCGAUGUGUACUUGAAAGGGCAACAUUUCCCUAAGUCCAGAAGAUGGAAACACAAAAUGCCUGCCGAUGCCUUCAACCCUCAGAUCCCGUAUGGUAGGAGAAAGAGGAACGUGAUGUCAGGCAGCAAAGUUCGUGUCCAUGAAGCAGGAAGUUGCACCCGAGUCCAGUAGUGCCAGAGCCUUGAGUCCUGAUUGUCCGGUGAAAGAAAGGAGACAUAGGAUGCGGAAGUUGCGGGAAUUGGUGGUGGCUUUGAUGAAAGGUGGUGAAGAGCUUGAUAAAGAAGAAAAGUGAUUUUUAUUUGGGGAGUCCAAACAGACAGCUCCUACUUUGUUUGGACAGGGUCGUUUCCCAAUUGCAACAGAGAUGGACUUUGAGGCAGAGUGAACUCGAGCAAUCGGGGAGGCUUCUUGGGACACACAGUUGCUUUGUGAUUAGGAUCAGCAUAGUAGAGGCAAAGAUUAUGAGAUAUUCGACGUUGCUUCUCAGCAGGACUCAACUUCCCUCUGAUGAGUCGGGGAGUACCAGAAAUAUCCAUCGGGACCGGAGUAGUAGGUCCAGGAGUAUGCUCUGAAGACUCAAGCUGGGAUUCCUGAGUCUGGGACGGGAAAACGGCGGCACGGUGACUUUUCUGAUGACGUUCAAAGAGACGAUUGUCGCAUCAAACAGCUUUGUUGAUGGCGUCCGACAAGUCCGUGGGAUCCUCCAUGGUGAGCAACAAAUCCUUGACACCGUUGUUGAGGCUGAAACGAAAUUGAUCAAUCAAGGCCUGCUCAUCCUAUUGAGUGUCCAAGGCAAGGAGUUGGAACUCUGCAGCAUAGAUCGAGGCAGGACGAGACCCUUGAGAGAGACGUCUCAUCUUUGUGGUGGCAGCCCGAACCCGAUCCGUCUCGCCAAAACAUGCUUCGAGCUUCUCUUUGAACAAUUGAAAAUCCAUCAGCUCCAGAACCACGACCCCUUUCAUGCUCUUCUCCAGGAGAGGAGAAAACCAUGACAAAGUUGCACCUUCGAGCAACAUCCCAAUCGCACCAAUUUGAGACUCGGGAGUGGGGUACCGCCGAUGUUAAAGUCCGAAGAUCAGCUCCAUCUGGUUCAGGAAUCCACGAAGCUCUGAACGCUUCCCUAAAAAUUUUGCCGGGAAACUCACCUUCGGUUUAGGAACUUUGUUGGAUCCUUGAGCCGAAAGUGAAGCAAGCUCCUGUUGCAUGCGAAGAAGGGUCGCCUUCAGCUCAAUAUUCUCAGACUGGAUUUUUGCAAGGACUUCGGCAAAGAAAUCAGGAUGGCUUGGAAACUCCAUUGGAAAAGAAGAAAGAAAAAAGGGGGAAAAAAUGCAAAGGCAGUCAAACAAUCAAAACAAGCUAAAGCAAAAAACGAAAAAACACAAUCUAAAUCAAACUAUCAAGACCCCUAACAAGAUCAAGACUGGAAAAUGCAAAAGACAAAGAGAAAAGCUAGUGAAUAACGAAGAAGAGGCCUUAGACUAGUGUUGAUUCAGAUUGUAGAGAAAUGGAACAAAGCUAACUUAUAUAUACUAUAGGUUGAUGAAGCUCCACCACUUUUGGAUCGAGGACGGCCCAAAUAUAGUUGAGGUUGAGGAGGCGUCACAUCAUCAUCAGGAAUGUGGCUCGAGACUCAGGAAUCGUAUGGGAAAUCGAGAGUCAGGAAUAGGGAAGUGUUUUGAGAGUCAGGAAUAGGGAAGUGUCUCGAGAGUCAGGAAUGUGGUCUGCAGGUCAAGAAUCUGGCGAGAGUCAGGAAUGUGGCAAGAAUUGGGGGAUUUCUGACAACAAUAAAAGGAGUGAUCAAUGUAAGCUCCUAAGUUUAGACUUUCCAGGGGUGACAAUAAAAGGAGUGAUUAAGUGUAAGUUCCUGAGUUUGGAAUUCCCAGGAGGUCACCUAACCUAGUACUAUUCAAACCUAAGAACGUUUAACUCAAGUAUCCCAAAACCUUUAACUAAUUUGAAAAAGGGGUGCACUUUUUUUAAGGGCGUUUUCCCUUUAUAUUUGAAUCCUAUGUAUCAUUUUUCAAAUCGUUCUUUUUGGUUGCUUAUAAUCCACCACGCUUCCAUGUAAUUUCAUGCCUUCAUGAAUGGAAGCUGAAAGCCAUAGCUCAACUCAAGAGUUUAUAUUUGGUAUCAGAGAGGUCUUGGGUCCGACUUUAUUGAUUGGCUAAAAGAAUUGCACUAGAUAUUGAUUGACAUCAGGUAAGUUUAAUUUACUUUUUAAUUAUUUAUAAUUAAUGAUGAAGACACCAUUAACUUUGUAGCUCCCUAUGCCAAUUCACCUAUCAACCCCACAAUAGAACCUACACUUAGUUUGUGGCCAUCUACCAUAUAGCUUAACAUGAUUGUAAUUUAGGGCAUUUUGUCAUUCUAGAUACCACCUCAUAAAUCAGAAUUCUGCAGGCAAGGAAAUUCAUUGCUCCAUUUUUCCAAAGGACAAAGAUGACACCUAGUGUCUAAAGCACUACUCAUGCCAAAAAUUCUAACCUAUGCCUCUUAUACCAUGUGAAGAGAAGCUAGCCUCUCCACCUAACACUCUGCAGAAAGAGAAAACUCCAAGAACAAGCAGCUCUCACAAAACAGCAAAAAGAGGUAAGAACGUUAAAUUGAAGAAAUGUGACUCAAGCCAUGUGGCUGACUCUAUGGUGGCUGCCACAUUCUCUACUUCAUAGAGUCUGCCACAUUCUCUACUUUGGUGGUAGGAAGACCAACUGUAAAAUAGAAGCCACUAAAACAAACAAAAUUGUGGCUAAGUUUUCACAUUUUGUCUCUUUAUCGUGCUAUCGUUACGGUUUUAGGGCAAAGCCCACCACCAACCUAGGUUUUCACGAUAGGGUUUCAAUUAACGAAAUGGACGAGGAAUUGGCUAAGGUGCAGGCUCAAAUCGGGCGUCUUGAGCCGCAGAUCCAAGCGGCUGGGGAAUCUUUUCUCUCUGCCUUUGAGAGUGGCAAUCAAUCUCUGGUGAAAUAUUGGCAGAAGAAGGAAGAGCAGCUGCGGAAGAAGGAAGAACAGCUGCGGAAGGAAAAAGAACAGCUGCGGAAGAAGGAACUCCUCCUCCUCCAAUGUAAUGGUAAGUCAUUCUUUGUGUAUUUAGCUUUCCCCCUCGAUUUGGGGAUGGCUGCUUUCAGCCAUGGUUAAGGAUUUUGCCAGAGGUAGCUUCAAUUCGCUUUUAUUUUGGGUUUGUGGCGUGUUGCGAAAUCCCUGACCAUAACCACACAUGGAAGAGAUGACUAAGGAUCUCUUUCUCCUCUCCCGCAGCAGCCUCUCUUUCACCCGGAGCAGCAGCAACUCUUUAUCCCGGAGCGGCUCCACUGUCCUGCUUUGCUUUCCCUGUCUGGUCACGGUUAAGGAUUUUUGCUUCCUGAAUCUGUUUCUUUCUUUCUGUGUGGAUAUCUGGUAAUCUCCGCAUCCUUGUGGUCAUUCUCACCCCUGUUUGCCCUUUGGCUGUGUUUAAUUCUGUGGCCAUUCCUCCAUAGACUUUAUUGUGCUUCUCACAGCACCAGCGCCAGCGCCAGCAGCGGGACUUCCUCCAGCCGAUUCUUACGUGCCUGGUAAGAAUGAUGUCUAGGGGACUGAAUGCCAUAAUUUUUGGUUUCAGACAUGAUCGCCUGGGCCAAAAAGCUGGACGAGAACCUGACCGCAGAUUUUGCUGACGGCGGCAUUGACUGGACAAGCCAUGCGACUUUUCGGUAGCUCCAUAUUCCCGCUUUCUCUGGAACGGAUGGCAAUCAAACAUACAUGUACAUGGGUCGCUCACUCUUCAAGGAGAUAGAAAGUUUCAUAUCGGCCUUGAGACACGGCGCUUCGGAUAAUGACAACAAACCUCCAGGUAUUAUUAUUGGAACUCCGGGGUGGUCUGGGAAGACCACUGUUCUUGCUACUGUGGCUGGAUAUCUUCGGCACCUUUGGAAGAACACCUCCAAGAAGGUCGUCUUUAUCAAUGGCGAAGAUUUCGUCGACAAUCCCUUGAGGACAAUGUGGCUGGCUCUUUUGCUGAGCUACAUAGACGACCUUCCAGCCGAGCUUUCGUGCCGGGGGUGGACCUUGAAAGUAUUAGAAUCUUGGAUCCUGUCGAGAUCGUCAGAGCAGCUUUACUUUCUGGUGGACGAGGCCAACGCGUUUGACACCACGCUGGGUGUGAAAACUGGGGGCUGCCAGCGCGGAAAGAAGGGACGAGGCUUACCAUUCUAUGAUGACGAUGCAACUGCAGGACGUCGUUGUCUACUGCUCGUCCGUCGGACCUCUGUGGAGGAGCAGAGUAGUGAGCGACAAAAGCCCUCCGUACAUGUUAGUCACAGGUGGUUACAGCGUAAGUAGCGACUACUUUCCAACACUGGUGUGGGGCUAACUUGUGUGCUUUUCCUUUUAUCCAACAGGCUGAGGAACUGCAGGCAUAUUGCGAACACGAGGUUCGUCGUGCCGGGGGGCUCCAAGCGGAGGUGAGCAUAGUAUUUACCGUGUCUUCCUUUAAAGCCUACUAAUGGUUUGGAGUAGGAGGAUCCGAUUGUGGCGUAUUGCAGGCUUGCCACAAGGCAAGGCCACCGAGAGUUGAAUGCGAAACGCAUUAAGGUAAAUGAAAUGUGUGAAUGUGUGGCUUACCGACGCGAUGAAGCAGGUUGAUGGAUCUGAGGAGGAGCUGAAUUUGUCCGACAUGGAGCUCUGCUCGGAAUUUAAAAGUGAGACUGGCUGGGUUCCCGGGCUUGUCGCUCAUUACGGGACCUGGAAGCUACGGACCACGUACCACAUGUACGAAGCUGGCCUGCGAGAGUAUAUCCAAGAGGCGGUCAAGGACCGAUAUCGCUGGAAUUGCUUCAUCGCUGUGGUCGGCGGAGUGGACACGAUUACAACGGUGUUGCCAGACGCGCUAGACACUCGAUGCUUCUACGUGGAUGCAGAGACAGAAAUAGGAAAAUGUCUAUCAGAUUCUCUGCGUGCGCGCACUAUGGUGCUCAUCACCGAGACUCUGCGGUACGCGUCCGACUUUGAGGCUAGGAUGGGUAUCGGCCAAUGGACAAGGCUGAUCCGGCACGACGACAACGUUGGGUGGAACGCAGAAAUGGCAACUCUCAUUUUCAUCAAACACUAUGGUAUCGUUAUUGACACGGAAGGUCUGCAGCUUAACUUCAAACCUGAAGUGGUUGUCAGAUUCGAAGGUGAUUUCUCUCCCCAAUUUCUGAUCGCAGACAAUGUUUCUCGUUUCUUCCCACCUGUGAAGUUCAACCACACGGGAGUUGAUUGCCUUGGAGAAAACCAGAAGCACGUUUUGUGGGUGCAAAUAGCGACUGGGGUGGAUGUGGUAUUGAAGCAUGGAAAUACGCUCUCGCGAUUUUUGGAGAUGACAAAAGGUGACGCGCGAGAGAAGGUUCUUAUUUGGAUCUUGGCAGUGGACAGUGCUGAUAAGAUAUGGAUACGCAAUGGCGUGGGUUACAAGGAGGUGUUCAUUUGUUUUGGCCGUUUGAGUGAACUGCUGGAAGUCAUCGACGUUGCAUGCUGCAGGCUGCAUCUCGAGAGUAGCAAGAACGUCAAGGUGGCAAGCAACCCUGAAGAAGCUAAAGCUGAGGUGGAGGAGUUGAGAAAGCUUGGUCGGUGCGGUUCCUUGAGCACGGGAAGUGGAAAUCCGUGUCGGCGUUUUCGUGGUGACGAGCCAUAUUGCCAUCACCACGAUAAGCGUCCUUGAAUAGUCUUCAGUGUUUCAGCCUUGGAUGUUUACAUUUAACCAUCACAUUUUGGAAAUUUUGGGAAUUGUUGGUUUUUCUAGCCAAGCUUGUGCUUCUCGACGAUUGCAGCGAUAAGCCGAUGCUGCAGAUAAACGAAGCGGGUGCUUCUAAAGUGCGGGCUUCUAAAGUGUGGACUUGUGGACACGGAUUUGUGGUCAGAGGAGGACAAGGAUGAUGAUGAGGAUGGAGCGCUGCGGAGGUACGAAUUUUAGAGACGCUAGCACUUACAAACCUGUAAUGGACUAUCACCUCAAAAUAUUUUGUGAUCUAAAGUUCAGUAAAAUCUUGUCAAGCUGUAAUGCCUCUAUAGCUCAGUGGUAGAGUGUCAGUCUUGUAAACUGAAGGCCUGGAGUUCAAUCCUCCAUGGAGGCAAUGUAUUUUGUUCUGGGAAAAUUAGACCUUGGUCCUUCAGUAUAGUCAAGCAAAAACCUGGGCGUGAUCUCUGAGGAGGUGGAAAAAAAAGAGCUUUCAACCAUGCCAGAUCGAUGAAGCUUCCUUACGCUAUGGAAACGAAGGAGUUUAACACGUGAACCUCUUUCGGAUAGCAACACCGCUGACCACUUUUUCUACAGAGAAAACUGUGUCUCUAUGCUCCAGUUCCUCCUCUUCUUCCCGCCAGGAAAGGUUCUUCAUCCUCUACUCGAGAUUCCUGGAGGUUCAUCAACCGGGUGUAGUUUUCCAGAAUCUGCUUCCCAUUUUGCGUGAUGAUGCUCUCGGGAUGGAACUGGACAGCCUGAUCGAGUCGAAGAAGUAAGGAAGGAUUGAAGAACACAACUUGAUGCACAGCAAGAACUUCCUACCUGGAUGUGCUUAUACUUGCGAUGCCGCACGCCCAUGAUGAGACCAUCGUCCGUCCACGCCGUGAUCUCAAGCUCGUCGCCAGGAAAGGUUUCUCUUUCGAUGACCAAACUGUGAUACCGGCACGCUGUAAAUGGACUAAAAACAAGUGUUUGAAAAGAGAUUGGUAACAGAUAAGAAAGCAUACUUGGGCAAGCCUGAAAAUAUUCCUGGUUCACCUUUCUCGUCAUAGUAUACCGAAGAAACUUUCCCGUGCAUCACGCCAUUUGGUGCUCGAACAAUCUUUCCUGCCAAUCAAGGUACAGACCAGAACCGGGAAAACGAAGUAGUACGCACCUCCAAACGCCUCGCCAAUGCACUGGAGUCCCAUGCAGACGCCAAACAAAGGAAUAGAGGGCCCGAGUUCUUUCACUGUCUGCAAAGAUAUACCAGAAUCCUGUGGAGUACCUGGAAGGACUUUGCUUGGAAGAAUAAGAUCUACACGGAGAACAUACCUGGUCCCGGAGAAAUUAAAAUCCCACGAGGCCGCUUACUGCGAAAGAAAGAAAAGAUGAAGGCGAUUGUAUUCAGUGAUUGAUAGACGUGAAGAGGUACCUUUUCAAAGCUUGAACGGAAAUCUCGUCAUUCCGAUACACGACGAACUCGCAUCCAAGGUCUCCCAAAUACUGCAGAGCAUAGAUCGAAUGAACAAGGGAGAAAAAAGAGAACAAAAAAAUGGAACCUGGCAAAUGUUGUAUGUGAAGCUGUCAUAGUUAUCGAUCACAACAACAGGGCUUCGCGAUUUUCCCUGCUUGGAGUCGGAUGAAACAGCCCCCGCUGACACUGCCGUGGCCCUCAGCUGCAAAGAUCACUAAAUCUCAUUCACUAGCAAGAGAUCACACACACACAUUGAUCGAUCGCAAAAUAGUCUUUCACCAGACAGAGAAAUCGCUACUUACUCGCCCCGGAAGCGCUGAUGCGGAGGACGAUCGCGCUGCCGAUCUAUGUGAAGUCUCCAGCUCCAAUCUAGAACUGAAGCCCGUCGCCGGGGGGCAUGGCGCUCGAGCAGCCGCCAUCCAAUGCGCACUGGAAGUCUUGCCCUAUCUCUUGGAGAAUAUUCUUAUCUCGAGGUACUAGUGGCGGGAAAAUUUCAUCCCAGAUUAAUGGAUUCUUCUUCCUUGCGGAGCUCGUGCUUAGGGUUUCGCGUCCCUUGCUCGCGAUCGCGAUGCCGGGGCUCUAGGGUAAGUUUUGGGGCGCGAUGCGAGGCCCCGCGGCAGCUCAAGGAGGAGCGGCGGCGCACUCCUCCCACGGCAAAUGCGAGCGUGCCGGUGAGAAUGGUUUGGUAUCUGUCCGAGGCAUUCGGGAUCGCUGCUGCCGGCUUGCGAAAUUUCCAAUCCGGGCUAGGGAAAUCGCAGGACCAGGAGCAAGAAGAAGGGGAUUUUGAGGUCGUGACGAGAGAAAUGGCGUGCGAUCUGAUCAGGAAGGAUUACGAGCAGUCUUAUUUUGUCACAGGUACAUUCGUGUUUUUCUUGGAAGUAAUUCCUUUGAUCGGCUCACAGGAAAGAUGACCACCGGGAUUUACAAGAGCGAUUGCGAGUUCGCAGACCCUUUUGUAUCAUUUAAAGGCCUGAAGCGAUUCAAGCAAAACGUUUCCAAUCUCGGGGCUUUCAUGGAGAAGUCGACACUCAAGAUUGCGAGCUGGGACGAAAAAGAGGUGACGAUUUUCUGGAUCACAAAACCAAAUUCGUCGUCUCUUUUUUUUUCCUUCUUGGUGUUCGAGCAGGAUAGUCUCAAAGUAGGAUGGCGUUUUCGAUGCGUUCUUGCUUUGCCUUGGAGGCCAGCUAUAUCAGGUACCUCUCGUCUCCAAUCUUUCACACUUUCUAAAGGUUUGAGGAUUACUUUGCAGCUAGCGGAAGCACAGAGUAUUUCUUCGAUGACGAGUCUGGCAAGAUUUGCAAGUAAGAUCCAUACUCUCGAGCUGUGCUUCAAGAAAUAAUUUUGUUGUCGAUCAGGCACGUCGAGAGCUGGAACAUAUCACCGGCUGAUGGUGUUAGGCAAUUGUUCAAGCCGUCUAAAGCUGCCAAAUCGUAAAUGUAUAGUCUUGUAAGUUUUCUGUGUAGACUAAGUGGUCCAGUGUUUAACUCCCUCGUUUCUAUACCGUAAGACCGUAUGCUUGAAAGCUCUUUUGAGAUAAGCAAGUCUAGGGUUAAGGACCGAAAUUUCAAGUUUACAAGCCUGACGAUCUACCACUGAGCUAUAGAGGCAUUAGGAUGAUUACAGCUUGACAAGAUUUUCUUUAGAUCACAAAAUAUUUUGAGGUGAUAGUCCAUUACACAUUGCCUUUACAAGACAAACUUUUGUUAAAUCUAGAUUAGUUCACUGUUGGAAGGCUCGUUUUAUCUAAAACCCGAAUUCCACACACUCUUGGUCGAUGCACGCCAAGCCUAGGCAACAAUCGCCCACGGCCUUGCAAGAAGCUCCAACAUUUGGCACCGGGCAAAAGGGUGGCUCGCUACUGCUGCUGCUUGAUGAUCCUGGGAGCAUGCGACUCUCAGCAACAAAAGCUAGAACUGCCAGGAUCACCAAAAGGAUCCUCAAACAAAUGCUCCUUUUUGUCGCCAUUCUCUUUUCUCUUUCACUAUGGGAAUUAGGAUUUGGGGGAGAUGGGGCUUUAUAGUUUAGAGCGCGAGAACCUUUUCAUGGUUCAAGAAUAUUCUUAUUCUUCUAAAAAGGUGAUUUGGAGAAUCGACGCAUAUUCUCUUCAAAAUCUAGAAACUAAAAUCGACGGUCUGGAUUUCAUGCAUUUUAUCCGACGGUUGGUAUUUGUUGUGUCAUCUUGGUUAUGGUUUUAGGGCUGUUUGGAGGUGUGGACGAAAAAAAUGCGCGGGGAUCUCCGGUGAGGGCCACAUUCCCCUCUCUUGAUGCUUAAUCGCGAGCGCGAGCAAUGCCUUGCCUAUCGUGCAUCGUCACCGGGCGAUUUCCAGCGGCAGCCGCGUCAUCCGGCUCCUGCGCGUUCCAAAUCCAUGGCAACAACCUCAUGAGCUCCCAGCACAGAUUCCCGUCUGAAUUUCGCGGCGCUCACAGCCUCCGCAAGGGAAUCGCCGCGAGGACGAGAUUUCGCAGCGCUCGCAUUGUAUCGGCCCAGGAAUCGAGCAGCGGCACCUACUGGGAGCGCGAGGAGGCCCGGUGGCUCCGCGAGGAGGAGAGGUGGAAGAGGGAGGAGCAGCGAUGGCUACGUGAAGAGAAGCGCUGGAACAGCGAUCGAGAAUAUUGGGCAGUGGAGUCGUCGCGGAUGAAGGAAGAGAUCACUAGUCUCAGGAAGGAGGUGGAGAGGUUGGGCCGCAGCGAUCAAGUCCCUGACAAGCACGACGCGUCUCCUUCGUCGCUUAGAGAUGUUCUCGUGGGUCUCCUGCGAACUUUGAGCGAUAGAAAUGAAGAGGCAGUGGCGCCACCGUCCCAGCCAGCGAAGGCUCCACCCAUGGUUACCGAGAAAUCCGUGGAGAGCAUCAAGUUCGUUCUAUCGCCCUCGGAGACUAGCGCUGGCCAGACCAAAAGUUCUUCCAACUCCAAAGGUGGCACCAAAGGUUCUUCCAAGACAGAGAAGAAGCACGCCAUCUCCAACAAGCAGGAAGCGCGGAGCUUGAAAUACGGGGCUGAGGGCGAUGAUGUUAAGCUUCUCCAGGUGUGGUACGUGCUUUCCUUUUCGUUUUUGCGUCCGGCAUUCUCUUCGUUUCAUUUUCUUUCUUGCUCCAAGUAUUUCUAAACCAUUGCCAUCUUGUUCUUUUCCUUGUGAAUUCGCAGGAGGCUCUUGCAAAGCUUGGGUUCUAUUGCGGGGACGACGACAUGGAGUAUGCUUCUUUCUCUAGCGGCACAGACCGGGCUGUGAAGUCAUGGCAGGUACUCUUUUGCUACCUCCUCUGUCUUGCCUUCGUCUCGCAAGGUAUGACCCCGUGUCUUGAAUCUGGCAUGCAGUCAUCUAUAGGUGCUGCAGAGGAUGGAAUUGUUACUGCGCAAGUGUUGUCGCAACUUAUCAGUGAGCAUCAAGUCAUAACAGUGAAUACCUCCGCUGCGAUCAAACCGCCCGAGGUAUCUUAGUUCCUGUAAAACGUUUGGAGCUUUUUGAGGCCUUACCCUUCGACUUUAUACAGAGCCCAGAGGUUGUGGAUAGAAGCUCCACCGGACGAGUUUACCUCCUGGGAGAAAAUCGAUGGGAGGAUCCGGAGAGACUGUUGCACAGGCGGCAAGCGAAUCCCGCUGCGUCUCAGAACUGCUAUACGUGUAGAGGCGAAGGCCAGACACUGUGCUCGGGUUGGUACUUCUCAAACUUUCUCUUCUACAUAUCUCAAAGAUUGGUUUGCAGAAUGCGAUGGCACUGGAGAACUUAACGUCGAAGAACAGGCAAGCUUUCAAGCACUUCCAUUCGGUGUUACUUAUACUCGUUUAAACUUGCAGUUCCUCGACUGGGCCGGCGAAGGGGCCAAGUGCCCAUACUGUGAUGGCUCGGGGACUGUGGUUUGUGAAGACUGCAAGGGGAAGGGCGUGGCGGCCACUUAAGCUAGAGUUCGUCCAAAGUGUAAUAAGAUCGUUCACUUAAGCUCGUUUAAACUCCCAUGGCUGACUUACUUGAUACGUGCCUUGCAGUUUUAGAAGGCUUGAACAAUGUUCCAGCUCCGAAGCGAACACCACGAAAUUCAUUCUUUUAGAACGUAUGUAUUUUUACUUGCCGAAACUUGCUUCCACUGGCUGCAAAUUCUAAUCUUUAUAGCUGAAGAGGAAUGGAAGUUUUGAUGUAACUCGUCUUCAAGGCAAUGCUCUUCGAAAGAUCGAUCAAUUCUAUCAGAAACUGUCGACCGUCGGAUGAAGCUCCAUAGCAGCCGUUGGAUUGAUGAAAUCCAAACCGUCGGCUGUAAUUUGUUUGUAGAACCCUGAAUCUGGUGUGACCUAUAUUGUCGGGUGCCAUGGCGGGGGCGGAGGCAAUCGUCGCGGCAGUGGUCGCAUCCCUGAUCCUCAGCUGCGCGGCCUUUACCGAGGAGAAUCCAACCGAUCGGCGCGUUCUUGUUCUUCUGGAGGAUCUCGCCAUCGAGUCCACGCAUUCGUUGUUCUUCAAAUCCCUCUCAGGUUUGCUGCGCAGCAUCGCAUUUUCGUGCAUUCUUUGCUGAUCCGAGGCUGUAGACAGAGGCUACGAGCUGGAUUUGAAGCUUUCGACAGAUCCGAAGCUAGCGCUUCAAAGGUAUGGAGAGUAUUUGUACGACGCUCUCGUGAUUUUCUCUCCUUCGGUCGAAAGUAAGCAUUGCAAAGAUCUGUGUGAAAGUAGAAAUAUCGCCUCACGUUUUUUGUUUGUUCGUGAAGAAUUGGGUGGCUCGCUCACGAGCGAGGCAGUGCUUGACUUUGUGGACUCGGGACAUGACUUGAUUUUGGCUGCGAAUUCCACCACCUCGCAGUUUAUUCGCAACCUGGCUGCUGAAUGUGGAGUAGAGUUUGAAGAGGUACGUGAAGCUUUGUGAAUUUAGCAUUCUGGAAAAUUCAUCUCGUCAUUUUCAGGAUUUCGAUUCCGUUGUGAUAGACCAUCUGAGUUUUGAUGAUGCACGCGAUGCCAAAGACCACAGUUUGCUUGCAACGAAGAGCCUUAUCAAAUCUAAGGUCAUUCUUGGUGCCAAGGAAAUUCAGGUAUCAAGGAAUAGCUCUUUUUUGUAAGGUGCUUACUGUCCAACAAAUACUUCUGCUAGGCUCCCAUUCUCUACCGUGGCAUAGGGCAUGUAGUGAGUCCCGCGAAUAGCCUGGUGAGUGUCCUUUCUGCUAGUUUCAACAUAUUGUUCAUCUAGAAUUCCAGGCUAUAAAGGUGUUGACUGCAUCGUCCUCAGCGUAUUCAGCGAAUCCGAAUGCUGUAUUGGCGAGUCCUCCUGCUCUUACUGGCACAAGUAUCGGACUGGUCUCUGUUGUCCAGGUAUGCAUUGUAUUCAUUUCUUCUGCUUCUUUUCAUUUUUUUAAUUUUUCCUUGCAGGCUAGAAACAAUGCACGCAUCUUAAUAUCGGGGUCCUUGGACAUGUUCAGCGACAAGUGAGCAUUGUUUGCUUCUCUAAAUUUGGUUGUGACUGGUGAGCUUGUCUUCAUGCAGUUUCAUCAAUUCGCCUGUUCGAAUCACUGGAAGUACAGAGAGGUCUGAGCUCCAGUCUGAUGAUUCAUUUCUAAAGUUUCGUGUUUAUUUUAGGUUCGAUAAAUCAGGCAACCAGGAGUUCGUUGAUGAGCUGAGCAAGUGGGUGUUUCAUGAAAGAGGCCACUUAAAGGUGAUCCUAAAAACGCAGGACUAUUUUGGCGCUAACCUCCCAUUCUCCAGGCUGUAAAUCUACAACAUCACAAAGUUGGAGAGAGCGGCGAGCCUUCGAUGUACAGAAUCACCGACCAUCUUGUGGGUUAAGCAAGUUGACUGAAUGCGUAGCUCUUACUCUUUGCUUUCUGUGUGACGCAGGAAUUUUCUCUCGAGAUUUACGAAUGGACGGGCAAAAACUGGCAGCCAUACCAAGCAGAUGACGUCCAAGUGGAGUUCUACAUGAUGAGCCCUUAUGUACUCAAGACAUUGAAUCACAACGGGAAGGUGCUGUAAGAACUGGACUGAGUUAUGGAUUUAUCAGCUGUGUGGCAAUGCAGGGUAAAUACGAGACAUCCUUUCAAGUCCCGGACGUCUAUGGAGUAUUCCAAUUCAAGGUUGAUUAUAAGAGACUCGGCUACACCACUCUGGACCUGAGCAAGCAGGUAAAUAGACUUGAAGACAUUCAAAUGUGGUACUAAAUGCGUGCCCAUGCAGAUCCCUGUGAGACCUUCUCGUCAUAACGAGUACGAAAGGUUCAUCAAGGCUGCAUACCCUUACUACGGGGGCGCGUUUUCAAUGGUACAUAUAUUACGGUGGUUGCUUGUUUGGUGGAUGAUCUGAUUCUUGUUAUUACAGAUGGCAGGCUUUUUUGUUUUCGGCAUUGCCUUCUUGUAUCACAAGUAGGAACUGACUACAGACCGGUGUAGUGUUUCACAAGUCGUGAGCUAAAUUAUGAAGAAGGAUCUGUCAAAGUCGCUAUAUUCUGCUUAUGCUUCUUGUUGGGGUUUUUGUCGAACAGUAUCCAGUGUAGCAGCGGUGGAGCCAUGUGCAAAUCUAGUGGCCCCGUGAGCCUUUCAUGUUGGGCCAUCUCUCCCAGGCAAGCGUAUGCUUUUCUUUUCAUUCUCUCUCUCUCUCUCUCUCUCGUGGACUAACUUAGUCCAGUUUUUAAGGACGGGACAUUUGGGUGGAGUGAGAUUCAAGCAUAGGACGCGUCCCAAUAGGAGACAUUUCAUGUCAACGUCAGGGGGGAAAAGCAAAUGAAAAGCGCCUGGGAGAUUGGCAGGAAGGUCUUAAAAGCCGCAAAGUGGGAAGAUUUCCCACAAAAACCACACCGACAUCCUCCCCCUCUUACUGCAUCUGAUCCUACUGGUAAAGGAGUUCACUCGAUAUUCACUUUCUGAUUUUUCUCCUUUUCAUUUUCCAGCGGGACCGUCUGCCACCGAAACGUAGGAGCGACACGACACUACACUACAGUAGUACAGCAGCACAGACAGUUUUUGUUUUCCCGGAUCGGCUUUGAUCCUCCUGGAGGGGUAAGAGUAACCUCUGGUUUGAUGUGACGCGCGUUGUAUUCCAGGCGAAGUCAAGCGAUGCUUUCUCGUUGCAACUGACUCCUGGCCGGGCUGCCAAAAUGCCAUAUGGGUGGGGACACCGCGCCACGACACUUUAAAUGGUACAUUAACGUAAAUCGUUCUCGAGCGUGGAAAGAGAGCUCGAUAACAAAACAGACAAAGCUCCAAGUUUAUGGACUUGCGCGCUUGUCAAUGGGGUGUUUUUAUUGGCAGCCAAAGACGAACACAAGCAAAGAAAGCGAAGCAAAGAAAGGGGCUGUGUGAGAGGGACAAGCAAAGAUGUAGACGGGCACCACUAGUCGCACAGGCAAAGCAAAGAGAGGAAAAAAAAAACAAUGGGGCAUGCAACACAGCAGGGACAGCAAUGAAGUUGAUAAUUGAAAGCAAAAAAGAAAGAGGAGGACAAGCUGGCUGUCACAAACCAACAUAUAAGCCUUGUGC